RNAcentral lists this long non-coding RNA (59742 nucleotides) under Gossypium barbadense (sea-island cotton). RNAcentral's name for it is "long non-coding RNA (GBAR_LNC019353)". Lineage: Eukaryota; Viridiplantae; Streptophyta; Magnoliopsida; Malvales; Malvaceae. The record is from RNAcentral.
AACCAGCAUUUUGCAAGGUGGCCGCUUUGGAGUUAUCAGCUGGGGUAACAUCGGGGCUAUCAGCAACAGUGGUAGCCUUCUUAUUCUUCGACUUUGCCGGUGCCGGUGCGGGAGCUGGAGGCCUAGGUGCAAAUAUUUGCAAUGGUUGAAGAACUUGAUCGAUUUGAUAAACAGCAAGCUGACCAUCAGUGUAAAUAGUGCCGGAAACACUGGUGUUUGUCAACCCUGUUGUUAUAUUCACAGAGUUCCCCGAAGUGGUGACAUUGAGAGGGAACUUGCCAUCGCCACUAUCACCAGCUUGGGUUCUCAAAGGGUUGCUAAUGGUUUGGAACUGAGACGAGGUGAGGUAUGUUGGGACGAUGUGGAAUUGCACCAGCUGCACUUUUUGUUCAUCGGUGAGUGAAUUCAAUGUGCCCGAUUUAAGGCUGGAGAAAGCAUUGUCCGUUGGUGCAAAAACGGUCAUACCAUUGUUGGAAUUGUUGAGCUGACCGAGCAGCUGGUUGGCCACUUGAGUGGACUUUAGAAGACGAAUGAAGAGGGUGAAUUGACCAGCUUUUUCGAGGAUCUUGGUGACGUUUGUCGGACCAGAAGGUGCCGGGGCCAGUGCCGGAGAUUGGGCUAAUGUUGUUGAACAACUGAGGGAAAACAGGAUGAGCAACGUGAGAGUAGUGAAGACAUAUUGUUGCCUCAUUGUGGGUUGUAUUGGAAGGUGACGUUAUGGCAACUAAAACAAAGUAAAAUGGAAGGGAAGAAGUGGUCCUUGAACAAAAAUGUUAUGGAUGUUUUGAUUGGAUAAGAAAUGGGAGCUUUUUAUUUAGGAUAUUGGAGGGUGAAGUUAGGUAAAAUAUGCUACUUUAGUUAACUAGAAGACAUACUUAUCAACUUUAGCAAACUCUGUUGGGAUGUUUAUUUGAAAGGAAAGAAAUUGAUGAGCAACUACAUUGCUUGGAAAAGCAGGGAAAACAGAGUAGAUUUUGGAGUGGAUAUGUGACCAAAUAGACAUACAUAUGGGGAGGCUCGUUUCUUCAAUUAUUUCCCGUAUUCCUCGAAUGGAUCUCUUAAUUGUUGAGAGAGUUACCCAAAAGCAGUAUAUAAGGCGUACCUAGUAAAACUUACAAGUAAAUCAGAUAUAGAGAUUGCAACUAAGGUUUUUGUUUCCAUUAUUAUAUAAUUUCAUGAUCACAAUGGGUCUAUGAUAAGAUUGUUUAUUUAUAGUGAAAUGAUAUACAAAGUUAACAAAUCUCAAUGAAUACAAAAUAAGAUUUAUGGCUACACAAAACGUUAACAGUAGUUCUAGAUCUAGUCCAAGACGAAUUGUUGUAGGAGAUUUUUUGAAACCAUUGAAUUCGGAAUAUGGUAAGGUAGCCCCUGGAUGGGAAAAGACUCCUUUAAUGGGUGUCACAAUGGCUUUAUUUGCGACAUUUUUAUCUAUCAUUUUAGAGAUUUAUAAUUCUUCUGUUUUACUUGAUGAAAUUUCAAUGAAUUAAAUUUAUAAGAAUCACAAAGCCUCGUUUUUCAAUAUAAAAAGUGAAACUUUUAGUUUUCGAAAUAUUUUAGCCCGAUUCUAUUUCGGUAAUGAUUGAGUAAUAAAAAUUUCGAUGGUUUUUAAAUAAGAUAUCGGAUUCAAAUAUUAUAAAAAAAUAAUAUUAAAAAAAUUACUUCCUAUUUAGACAUUCAACUUCGCUUUUUAAAAAAAAAUAUAUAAUCGAGAUAUAAUAUAACCAUCCAACACCAUUAAAAAGAAUUAAUGAUUGCCUCGGUUUGUGAUUGCGAAUGCUUGGCUAACUUAGGAAAUAAGUUUCCGUAGCGAUGGCGGUUAAAUUGGGCCCUAUUUCCAGCUAAUGCCAACGAGGCUGAUGGCUCCCUGUGGGUGGGGCUUUAAUUUCCAUGAGCAGAUCGAUCCAAGCUGAUGAUCCCUGCUUCCUUCUUCUUUAACCCUCUUUUCUUUUCUUGGAUUCAUUAGAUUCAACAAAGGCAAAAACACUUUUUUUCUUCUGUCCCAUGUUAUUAACGGUAAGGCAAUUAUUGUCCAUUUAUUUAAAAGCUAUUAUUAUGUUACUACAUUCUACAGAAUAUGUACAACCAAAAUAUGAAAAUUGAUUUUUCAACUGUAUCACAGGUGAAAUUAUAAUAACUUUAAUCUUGAAAAACCUAAACACCUCCCUGCUUCACCUUCUAUAACAAAAAUCUAAAAUUUUCUUAAUGGGUUAAAUGGGAAAUUAUCUUAGAGUUCUAAAUUCGACCAAAAUAAAAUUUAUUUCUAUAAAUUAUAUUAAAUUUAAUUUAAAGAACAAUGUUAAUUUCAUUAGAUAUCCUCAAACUAUGACUCUCAUUUUAAAUUGACCCUAAAAUUUAAAACAUUCUAAUUACAUCUUAAAUUAUUGAUGAUUUAAUGUUAUAUCAAUCAGGUCUUUUUGUUACUAAAAUUGUUAUAUAACCGUUAAAAAAUGACAUGUCAGAUCUUAUGUAAUAUAAUUAAAAAAUAAAAAUUAAAGAAAAAUAAAUAUCGUAAAGUAUUGGUUUUGAGGUUCUUAAAGCUUCUAUAGAAAUUUUAUCAUUCAUUUAAAUCGACUCUAGCAAUCACUCUAAACUGACAUUCGCCUCUCUACCCUUUGCACAUAUGAGGUAGAGUGCAUACUGGCUGGGAAUCACGUUUUGCCACCAUUCCUUUAUAAGUAUCCCCCCUCAACAUCAAGGCAAGGGAGAGACUCAGAAGAAUAUACGAAACCAUAGCAUAUAUUCUACUCGAAUACAAUCUCAACAUUGCUAAAUCACCACUCUUAGGCUCCUUGCACUACUUACAAUGUGAACCACUUUCAUCUUUGUGACUCUAUGCACUUUUUAUGGUGUAAACUAUCUCUAGUUUUAUAUAAUUUACUUGUUAUAACAACUCUAAAGAAAUAUGUUAUUAUUGAAUUGAAGAAAAAUAAAGCAACUUUAUUCUAUUAAAUUAAGAAUAUUUACUUUUGUAAGAUAUCAAAUUUUGAAGGUUAAAAUAUGGCACAGAUCCUUGUACUCUUCACAAAUUUAAAAAUUAGCCAUUAUACUUUUAUUCUCAUGAAUUUAGUUUAUUUACUUUUUAGAUUUCAAAAUCCCGUUUUAAUUGUUAACAUUAUUUUUUUUGUUAAAUUUGUCAGUGUGACAUUUUAAAAUAAAAAAAAUACUCACUUGGUAGAAAUGUAGGUACAAAAAUGACAUUAAAAUGAACCAGAAUUUAACAAAGUAAUCCUAACAGUAUUAAUAGUUGGAUAUGAAUUUUGAGAUUUAAAAAGUAGAGGGAUUAAAUUCCUAGAAAUAAAAAUAUAAGGACUAAAUUUCAAAAUUUAAAAAAAAUACAGGAAUGUAUGGUAUAUUUUAACCAUUUUUGAAUUAAAUUGUAUUUUGGGCAAUAACUUUAUUUAACCCAAAUAUGGUAUAGAUGAGAGGUGUAAAGUUGCUUCUGUCUCAAUUCAAGCCCACAUGAGUUGCUUGGACAGUUGGUGGUAAGUAUAGUAGAGUAUUGAUGUUGGCUGCCACUUGGUCGGACCAAAAAUACAAAUAUUGUUGUUGGUAUUUCAUGGUUGAGUUCAAUAUACGCAAAACAUCUAUUUUUCUUCUAAGGAUCCACCAUUUUUUUAAAGCUUUCUUCUGCUGCUCCAUCUUAUCUCAUCAUUGCAUUCUAAUUAGAAAGGUAAUUUAAGUUCAAGAGAUUCUUCUAUGUUGCGCUCAUAAAGAUAUUAAUAUUAGUUUGGGUGAGAAUAAAAACAAUAGUGAUGAUAAAAUUAUUUAUUGUAACAAUGAAAUUUGAUAUUGUAAUAGAAAUUAAUUUAUGGGGUCAGGGAAACUUGAAAAGAUGAACACGAUGAUCCAUUUCUUCCUUUCUAUUCACCUUUGCUUGCAUUGAGGGAAAUUGAGGUUGCAAGUUGGCAAUGAAAGGAGGGAGAGUAGGGCCUAUAAAGAUGCGGAGGGAGUCAGGCAUGCAUACAUAGAUGGGCAUGGCUUCAGUUCUACCCUCACACACUAUUCUCCGCCUAAUUCAUUUUGUUGGCCAAAUAUUGAACAACCGACAACUUCAUCCUUUGCUUUGCUUGGUAAACAAGCUAUCAUCCUGCUCCUACCUCUUCCAUAAUCAUUACAUCAUUUUUUGGUUUUCUAUUCAGACUCUGAACUUACUAAAUGAUCAUGCAUUGAUAUCCAAAUCAUUAUAACUUUAUAGUACCUAAUCAUGUUUCAUAAUUCCUAAAACUAACUCUCCUCGCCUCUAACCAUACCCUAGAGGUUUCCCCUUAUUUAGACAAUAAACUAGGGGCAUAUAUAGGACAAAGGGACCCACACCAAACUCCCCCUCCACUAUAUAUAUAAACCCUUCCGAUCACUAAGAAGGGUUAGACUCCAACUAUUAGAACUUCUCUAAUACAUGUUACUAGUGAAUCACUCACACUUAGGACUAGGGGUUUUCAACCUCGGUUUGGAUAAUAUUCGAAUCAAAUUACUAUUAAUUGAAUUAUUCGAAAUAUAAAAAUUUUUAACCGUUAAUCGAAUAGAAGUUUUUUUCAAAUACAUUAAUCAAACCGAAAUUUAUAUAUUUUUGGAUCUUUUGGCUAAAAUAAGUAUAAAACAUAUAAAAAAUAUAUUGCCAAUGUUUAUUUUCUUUUAUUUAAUAGUUCAAAAAGCUUUAAAUAGAGGUGAAAACAAAAAAUAAGACGUUAGAAACACUAUAUAUAUUAAUUAUUUAUAUACUGGGGGUGGGCUAUAUAUAUUAUAUAUUAUCUAUUUUGGUUAAUUGGUUAAUUUGAUUAAUUACUCGAUUUCGAACUGAAUUAACCGAUAAUCAAAAUUUCAAAAAAUCAUUAACCGACUUUUGACCGAACUAAAUUCAGCCACCGACCGGUUAACUGAAUUAGACCGAUUCGGUUGGUUAAUUCGAUUUUAACCGAACUGUGAACAUCCCUAGUUAGGGGUGUGCAUUUGAUCGGUUUGUUUUGUUUAUACUGAAAAUCAAAUAAAUUAAAUUAUCCAUGUAACUUGAAUAAACUGAACAAACUUAGAGAGCAUAACUGAAUUGAAAAUUUUCAGUUCGGUUCAGCUGUUAAAUUUUUUUUGAGUUGGAUUUCAUUUUACUAAUUGAGGUAUUUAUAUUUUUAUUUCUUUUAAUUUUUUUCAGAUAAUUAUCUUCUUUCUUCAAUUUAACCUAACACAUCACUUUUAUUUUUAUUUUUAUUUCAAAUUCAUUAUAAAAAUAUUAAAAUGAAAAUGAAAAUUCUUUUAAUUAACUCAAAUUCAGUUUAUGUUUUCCUAUUGGAUUCCAAUGUUCCAUGUUUGUUAACUGUGUCAUUCGUAUGGGAUUGUUCAUUUUCUUACAAGGCUUGGAUGUAAGCAUUUCAUUUUCAUGAUUUAAAUAUCUAUGCUGAUGAUUAGUACACUAUAGAAGACAGGUUGAAAUGACUUUAUAAUAUAUAUUUAUACCACGUGUUUAGGUUUAGUGUACGUUUUAGGGUUUUUUAUAUAUUAAAAUUAAAUUAUUAAUUUGGGUUUUAAAUUUAAAUGGAUUUUAGCUUUUAAAAAUAUUAAGUUUUAAUUAAUAUUGAGUUUAAGGUUUACAUUUGAGUUUAGGUAUGUGAAUGGGUUAUGGACUUAAUCGAUUUAAAAUGUAAAAACCAAAAAUUAACUAAAUAAACUAAUUAAAUCAAACUUGAAGGCCAAUUAAACCGAAAAAUCGGAAAAAAAAAAUUGGUAUCUUUGGUGAUUCACUUUGGUGGUUGUGGUUUAGAAAUUUUUUUUUCACACCCCUACUCACAAUCACAUCAUCUAUCUCCAUCACCAAACUUUAUGAAACACUUUAUGAAACAUAUUGUUGAUUUUUGCAUAGAUACAUGGUAAGCUGCAACAAGAUUAAGUCAUUGCUACAAGAAAAAUAGCUGAUGAUUAAAAAUUUUAACACAAGAGCGCGUGUUGAUAAUGUAGUAAAGUGAUAAGUAAUAUAUUUUUCUCAUGAAAACUAAAUUAUAAGUUGCUAAGCACCAACCAUUUCGUUUUAUGUAAAUCUAGAUAAGUAAAAUAAAUCCUAAUUGCUACUAAAAUUAAACUAAGUUUCUCAAUGAAGUGUAUGAUAUCUUGGAACUUUAAUUUCACCUAAUCCUGCUAAUCAAUUAUCCCUCAUGCAAUCAUUCAGUCUAUGUAAUUACUAACUCAAGUUUCAAUAGAUUAACUAAACCAUUCUAGUAUCUAGCUAAGUCAAUCCUCUUUCCCCACUAGCUAUAUUCCAAUCUCUGGCAAGAUAUCAUAAAUAACAAAUUUAUUAUAGCUGCAAAUUAACUCGUUUGUCGCUACUAGAGUUACUCCUAAUCUAUUCAAUCUAGAUCUCAACCUUACCUUUCGACAAAUUAAGAUUAUUAAAUUAAUACAACAUGAUAACCAUACAAGCAAAUUAAAUAAUCACAAAACUAAAUAAUUAAUAAUUAACAUAGAUCAAAAUUAAUAAUUAAUCAACUAAUAUGUAUAGAACCCAUCACCAUUCCAGAAAAAUAAAAUUUAAUUCAUCAUGACUUGAGAAUAUGACAAAAAGGUAUUCAACACAAUCUUACAUAAAUAAAAAUCUAGAGAGAAAAUUGAUGAAAAGGAUGCUCUCGGAUCUCUUUGAAAGCCUCACAUCCCUUGACCUGGGAGCCUACUUCAAAUCAUGAAGUGCCUUUUUGAGUCUGCUGGAUGCUUAGGAUCUUCAAACCCCUGAUGUUGUUCCAAAUAGAUUUCUUCAUCUAUGAACUUAUUCAGAAAUGCAUUCGAUACAACUUAAUGUUAAGAUGAGUUGCAACUUCCAAAGCAACCAAAUGACCUCAAAUCUGGGUCUUAGAGCAAACUUCACAUCAAAAUUAAUUCUCUCUACCUGUGCCGUAUCCUGGAGCCAAAAACCUUGCUUUAUUCUUAGUGAUAUUCCCUGGUUCAUUUGUUUUGUUUUGGAAUAUCCAUUUUGCUCAUUGUCAAAAAAAGCCUUUUCGAAAUGAAGGCAAUAAUCAUAUUACGCCACGUCCAAAACCAACUCCUUAAAUUAGUCGCAUCACAUCACUUUCAAGGACAAAAAGAGAUCAAAUUAUAAUUUACUAUUGAGGCAAACCAUUUUCCGCAGAGAAGAAACAACAGAAAUACACAAAAAGAACAUCUUAAACUAGGAAGAAUAAAAGAGACCAGUUUUGAGUAUAGUUAGAAACAAAGAAUUAAUAACAAAAAUUGAAGGAAAAAAACCCAUAUUUUCCUUUUGUUUCUCUCCUUGGGUUUAACGUUCAUGUUGGUCUUGCUUUCAUAUUAUCGCUGGUGGUAUUCGUUGCUUGGACUCAUCUGUGAAAAAAUGAAAAUAUUUUCCAAGGAUCAUCAAAUAUUAUUUGAAAUCAAAAUCAAUAACGUAGUUGUCUUCUCCAUCUAUUUUCACAACUCUCUAACAUUGUUUUAUUCAAGUAAACACUCUCAUCGGUAGCUUCCUCGAGCAUCUGAAUCGCAUCUUCAGCUCUACCUUCUCUGGAUAAUGUACAUGUUUAUGGUAUUCCAAUGUAAAAGUCAGCUUCCUCAACCUUUUCCUUUUAUUAAUUAGUAUAUCAGCAUGCAACGAUUUUAUUACUAAAAAAAAAUCAACAAUUUAUUACUUAACAACACAAACUAAGUAAGUUUACAUCGAUAUAUGUUGUAUACAUCUUGUUUAAAGUAAUGAUAUGUGAUGGGCAAAAAUCUGGCCCUUAUUAGCAUUACAAAUCUAAUCACAAAACAAAGAGUCAAAAGACAUACAUUACAUGUAUGUUAUUCACUUUUAAUCAGUCCUUAGAUGGAACUUAAACCGGCUUUUCCUUUAAACCUGCAAUGAUUGCAGAGAGGCGAAUAUAAGGAUGGCGUUUGGUAUUUGUCUUCCCCACCCAUCAUCGGCAUCGCCACACCUCGUUUCACGGGGCUAACGUAGUCCGGCCGGUAAGUCUGUCCCAACACCCCUUCCACUAGAUUGGUUAGUCCGGUGAACUUGAACUGUGUCUCCAAAUGUGCAAAGGCGUCAUCAGCAGGCAACUGGUAAUUGUGAACCUUGUUUUCAUGUUCCCCGAUGGCUCUAACUUUUACAUUCAACUCCACCAGCCCUGCAACUGUGACCUUAACACCGUUGGUUUCCUCAUUUCUUUCAACUAUCACUUCCCUUUCUUCCGAAUUAGUCCUCCACUCGGCUUCUCCGUCUGUCGGGAUGUUUACGACAGCGCCGUCCCAUCUUACAAUGAGAGCGUCGAAGCUGUUGUCCCAUUGAGAAACUCUCUUUGCCGCGAGGACGAGAGUGUGAGUAUCGAACAUGACCGCCAAGGCUUGCACCCAUGUGUAGUCUCGUGUACGUCCUUGGGGUCGUGUCCCGAUGAAGUGUGCAUUGAUUUGGAGGUUCUCAUCUGAUACAAUGGCGAAAUUUCCAUCCUUGGCUCCAUGGAAGUAAAACAUAGCUCCAUCACCACCAACAAACCUUGGAUCAUAGCAUAGAGACCCAUAUCCGUUACAGUUUGGCUUUCUCCCUGUGAAACAACUUCAAAUCAUCAGCAUACAUACACAGAUUACGCAUAGAUACACCCAUAUAUACAUAUAAAUAUAUAUACUUACAUUUGCAGGUGACUUCACAUUUGCUACUGCAGUCAAAGAAGCAUCCUUUGACCUUCUUAUUCUUUUUGGGCUUCCUUUGAGCGCAUUGACUCGGACAUGUGAGUACCUUUCCAUUACAAGCUCCUCUUGCUAGGCAGUAAACUCUUUCUUGUCCAGUACUGGUGGGUGCCAAAACAGUAUAAUGAGUUGAAGCAGCAUCAUAGGGUGCCUUCUUGCUGUUGCUACCUUGCACAUUGCUAGCUUCCAUAGAAAUGAAAACUAGGGCAAGGGCCACCAAAAAGAAAGAGUAUCUUCUAUCCAUGUCUCUCUGUGUUUUAAAAGUUCCUUCUCCUUCUAUUAAUCUUUAAAUGUUGCAGUGUGGAGAGGAGAUAGGCGGAGAUAUAGUGUCACGGAAAACCCUAUAUAAAGGCCAGUUCCGCAUGCGGUUUGCCUCCAAAUACGGCUAAAGCCAUGUGAAGUUUCCUCUUUCUAUAAACAAGCAGUUGACAGAGAAAUAGCUCCUCUGGAUCUGCAAUUUGUUUAUAUUUACAAUUUUACAUUACUCGGUGUAAGGGAAAGAUAUAAAUGAGAAAAGGGUGCUAUAAAACUGUCCACCUCAUCCUAUUCCAAAAGAUAAUAAAUCAGAAUUUUUCAUUUUCAUUUUCAAUUUUUUCUUCUUGAAAAAAUAAAUUCAACUAAAAAUGUUAAAAAUUAGGAGAAAGAUAUGGAUAAGAUAGAAUCACAGUUUCAUAUCGUCCCUUCUCAAUAUAAAUAUAUGUUAGACGAUUUUUCUUUUUUUAAGAUUUCCAUGUAUUUAGAGACCUAAACAAUAAUUUGAUUACAUGCAUAUACAUGCAAAUUAUAUAUUUAAAAUAUAAUUUUGCGUUUAAAAAAUAAUAUUUAAUAAAUAAUGAAAUAUAUGUUUUGAAAUUAAUAAUAAUAUAUAUGAAUAUGUGCUAUGAAAUUUAAAAAAUAAAUUUAUUUAAAUUGUGAGUAAAAUUAAAUUUAAAUAGGUAAAUACAUAUGAUAAAAAAUAUUAAAUGCACUUUAAUUAUUUUUCUAGCUCAGUGUUGUCAUUUUUCUAUAAUAAUAAUAUAUAUGUAAUAUGUAUGAAAUUAAAAAAAUAAAUUUAUUUAAAUUGUAAGUAAAAAUAAAUUUAAUUAAACAAAUACAUAUGAUCAAAAAUAUUAAAUGCACCCCAAUUUUUUUCUAACUAGUGUUGUCGUUUUUUUAUAACACCUUACAAUGUUAUCAUGUUAGAUAGCAUUACUUAACAUCUAAUAUAACUUAUUUUAAAUAUAGAAAGAUAUUGUUGUAAUUUCUUCAAUCGAGUUGGUGUUUGGUUAGCUUAUGCACCAACUCAAUCAAAAGUUUAAAGUUAGAAGAGAUAUAAAUGAAAAAAAAAUUGUAUAAUGAUAUUAAAAUGUAAAAAAAAAUUAUAAUUGUUCUCGAGUUUGUAUUUUUUUUUUUUGAUUUUAUUAAUUUGUGAAUAGAAAUAGUUAUAUCUAAAUAUAUAUAUAUGAAAUAUGGUGAAGAAAAACGAUGAAUAAAAAUAACAUAUUACUAUGUCAAGAAACUUAGGAAUAGGCCUUGGUUGAGAUUGGAGAUGGUGAUGAGAAUAGUAAUAAAUGUGAUGCUUCAAGUUGAAGCACUAAUCUAGUUGUUAUCACACAUUAUCAUGUGACUAAAGCUUCUAAUAAUGGCGGAUCCCAUGGUAUUUUAAAUGACUCUCCAAGGUCAAACCGCCUAGAUUUGUGGUUUGUGCACACCUCCUUCACCCGGCUAGGCCGCCCAAAUCUUUAUAAUAUUUUGAAACUUGAGAAAAGUAAGCUUUUAAUAACUACAAGUUGCAUUAAGAGAAAAGGUCGAGUCAACCCCAUUAAAUGAACAACAAAUUCAUCUGAAUAUAUAUAUCAUAGCUACUUGGGGCAUUUCAUUCAAUAUUUAAUACAUCACAAACGAAUUUAAACAUAUCACAUAUUCUCUUUAAAGUAUGGUGAAAGAAGAAGAAAAAAGAAUUAAGCAUUGAAAAAUAAGACUAGUGUUUUGUUGUUUAUUCAGUGGGUAAUUUUCAUAUGGCCCUUAUUAUUUUACAAUAGAAAAAAAAUUAAGGUAAAAACAUGUAAAACGACAUAAUUGACACAUAUUGGUUUAUUUUAGAGAACAAAUUUAUUGUGUGUCGAUUAUUAUCAGCUUGGAGAUGGAGAAUAUCAAACUCAGUUCAGAUGGUGGCAACUGAUCCAGAUGGCCUCUGAAACCUGCAAGCCUUGCAGAAAGGUGAAAAGAGUGAUGGGGUUUGGUACUUGUCUUCCCCACCCAUCAUUGGCAUAGCCACCCCUCUCCUCACUGGGCUAACAUAAUCUGGCUGGUAUGUUUUCCCCAACACUCCUUCAACUUCAUCACUUAAGUUGGUGAACUUGAACUGUGUUUCCAAGUGAGCAAAGGCAUCAUCAUCUGGUAACUGAUAGUUAUGAACCUUGUUUUCUUCUUUGCCAAUGGGUCUCACCCUUAUGUCUAUCUCCACCAAUCCAGAUAUUUUGACAUGAAGACUGUUUUUGUCAUCGGUUCUUUCCACCAACACUUGUCUUUCAUCGCCGUUACCCUUCCUCCAUUCACCUUCUCCGUCGUAAGGGAUGGUAACCGUCUCGUCGUCCCAUCGUACACUGAGAGCAUCAACAUUGUCAUCCCAGUGAGAAACUCUAUUUGCUGCAAUGACAAGUGUGUGGGUAUCGAACAUGACAGCCAAGGCUUGCACCCAUGUGAAAUCACGAGUCCUUCCUUGUGGUCUAGUGCCGAUGAAAUGAGCAUUGAUUUGAAGCUGACCAUCUGAGACAAUGGCGAAGUUCCCACCCUUGGCUCCAUGGAAGUAGAACAUAACUCCAUCACCACCAACAAAACGAGGGUCAUAGCAAAGAGAGCCAUAGCCAUCACAUUUUGGUUUCCUCCCUGAAAACAUACCAAAAAGUAAAAUAAAAUAAAAAUCUGAGAGAAGUAGGAAUUAGGGUGACUGGUAUUAUAAGUAUAUAUGCUUACACUUGCAAGUGGCUUCGCACUUGCUGCCGCAGUUAAUAUGGCAAGCCUUCUGCUUUUUGUUCUUCGUAGGCUUCCUCUGAGGGCAUUCAGAUGGACAAACAAGGGUCUUCUGGUAACAAGCACUUUUCCCUUUGCAGUAGGCUCGUUCUUGCCCGGUCCCUGAUGAUGACAUGUCAUAAUUCACUUCAUCAUCGUCUUUCUUAUUCUUCUUCUUAUCUCCAUUGCCCUUGUUUUUGCCUUUGCCAUCGUCGCUGUCGCCCUUGCCCUUACCAUUGCUGUUGCCCUUGCCCUUACCAUUGCUGUUGCUGUUGCCAUAUCCAUUACCAUUGUUGUUGCCAUUCCCAUUGUUACCCUUACCUUGACCAUGCACGAUGGCGGCUUCAGUGGAUAGCAGUACGAUAACGAGAACCACCAGAAUACUAUACGACUUCAUCUCGUACUCGAAUUGACACACUACUUAUAUGUUUGUUUCUCCUCUUUAUAUAGCUUAUGAUUAUUAUUAGUGGUAGAGUCGAUCAAUGGAGGAGGGUUGUUGAAAAUGUAGCACAAAAUCAACCUAUUUAUAGGGUUUGUCAGGAUGAACCUCGCCUUGAACGUUGGGUUCAUGGUAAUGCUAUUACGGGUGUAAUACGUUACUUACUUAAUCGGUGAAAUCCACCGAUUUGUAAUACAUCCCUUUUGCUCAGUUUAGGUCCUGAUUCAAUUUUCUUCCCUGUUUUAGCCUCCCGAUUGACACUUCUGUCUUACCCAAAGUCUUCUGUUUCUUCCUUCUACCUUUCUUCUCCACUCUCCUCGCCGUUUCUCCUUCUCCCUGUUAUAUGUUUUUUUUGUAUUAUUAUUUUCUCAAUAGAUCUGCGCAGCAGCACCCACCAUUUUCAUUUCAAAUUUCCCAUCUAACCGGUUUUUUUUCUUCAUCUAACCAACCCUAGCAGCGUUGUUUCGUAGGACGACCCUUGGUUUUGCCACUAUUUACGGCGUUAACCCAUUGGAAGAAACUCCACUCUUUAACUUCCUUUUUUGCGGUUGUAUAUAUAGAUUUCUAUUUUUUUCCUAGGUUUUAGAAUUUGUUUGUUUUUUAGGGAGUUUAGGGCCGUGCUAUGAAUAAUAGAGGGAGGUAUCCAUCGGUGCUCGGCCGUAGCCGCGGAGCGAACGCGAACCCUAGCUUUCAAUCGAGGCUGGAGCAACCGCAGUAUGCGCAGAGAAAUUUGGUGCAGAAUCAUCAUCAUUUUCAACAACAACAACAUCAUCAUCAUCAUCAUCUGCAAACAGCAACAACAUCAACAGCAGUGGCUCAGAUGAAACCAAUUGCCCGGCGGAAAUGACUCCACUGUCGCCGAUGAGGUCGAGAAGACCGUACAAUCUGAAGUCGUCAACUCAAGGUUCUUUUUUGUUUCUUCUCCUUUUUUCUUUUUAAUUGCAUUUGUGAUUAAUUUUUAUUUAAUUUUCUUGUACAUGUUACGUAUUGAAUGUUCAUAAUUAUAUUUUUUUCACAAAUUAAAUUUCUUGUGCAUUGUUUACAGUUAUUAAUUUUUUUAUUGAAUUUUCUUUUAUGUAUUUCAUAUUGAAUUGUGCACGGUUUUACAUUCUUUUUCAUCUUUCAGUUCACAUGAUUGGAAGGCAAGGCUAAAGAUGCCACCAUCAGAUACACGCUACAAAACGGAGGUAUUUUUGUUAAUGAUAUUAAUCGAGUAGAUAUUGAAGUUAAUACAACCUUUUUAAUAAUAUUGCAUAGCUUACCUAUCGUUUUAAAAAUUCCUUGAAGUUUCUGCUUUUACCAGUUAUGGUUAAAGAAAUUGUAGCAUUGGUUUUGUUUAUUUCACUAUAUAUAAUUGUCAUACCUUCGUUAAACUAUGAAAAUUCUCGAAGGAAAAAUUUCUGGCUUAUGUUAUUUGGGCAAUGCAGGUGAAUUACUCAUUAAUUUCCUAUAAGGUAUAUGAUUUUGAAUGGACAGUUUCCAAAGAUUAUAACUUAAGGACACUGAUACUAGUUCCUUGAUGUUGAGGCCUUUUGAACAAAGGGCCAUUUUUAGGCUUGCAAUUGCAUUUCUUUAUCCUCGAUAGCACUCCAUAUUGUUUCUCUGAUAUAAAUUUCACACAGGGCAUGGCAGUGCUUUUGUUGGUAUUUGGAUAUUUUUUAAAAUUUUAAUUUUGACGCUUAUGUACUGAUCUGCCUAUUAAAUUUGUGCCAGGAUGUGACUGCUACCAAAGGAAAUGAAUUUGAAGACUACUUUCUGAAACGUGAACUUAUUAUGGGAAUAUAUGAGAAGGGCUUUGAAAGACCAUCUCCUAUUCAGGAAGAGGGUAUUCCCAUUGCUUUAACUGGAAGUGAUAUUCUUGCUAGAGCCAAAAAUGGAACUGGGAAAACUGCAGUAUUUUGCAUUCCUGCAUUGGAAAAAAUUGACCAAGAUAACAAUGUUAUUCAAGGUUAGAUUUCAUCUACAUUUAAUUUCUUGAUUGUGUGUGUUUGUGUUACCAAUUCAAGCCCAAUAAAAUGGUAGUGGGGACUGAAAGUAGGAUUCUUUGGCCAUUUCAAUUAUUUAUUGUUCUUCUAGUUGUCUGAUCUGCUUGUCAAUCUGAUAUUGGAGAAGUGUGAGUGUCAUUUGUUUCAUUUCUUUUAACUGAUAUUUGAAUUAUGGGCUUUGGCAUGGACGGACUUAGUUGACUGACGAUCAAAUCUUUGUAGCAGUUCCUUAAACAUGUGCAUUAGGUCCUCCAUUUUGUAAGUUGGUGCAACUUUUUCCAUCAGUCCAAGCAGAAAUUUUCACUCAUCUUUCUGAAACCUUCCAAAUUAAGUUCUUUGUUGACCCUUAUGCUGUAAUUUGAAAUAUGAGUUAUAUUAGGUGCAAUGCCGAGGGAUGUUUUCAACACACUACCACCGUUUAGCUGUGGACUAUAGGAACAAUUCCAAGGUGUGUCUGCUUUCUGUUGGAUAAUAUAUUUUUUAAACUGAAGUUUAUAGCAUUUAUAAUUGGCAAAUUAUAUUAGGUGCAGAGAGAGUGAAUGAGAUAUUUUGAGUUGUACAGCAUCAGUUUGAAGUCUUAUCUGCCAAUUUGUUUAGUGAAAAUUUGUAAAAUGCAGGGCUGAUUGCUAUUUUAGUGUUGAUUUUUCCUUGAAUUUAGUUCAUAUUCUCAUAUUGUUGAAAUGUGCAUUAAUCAAUACCUUCUGUUAUUGAGAACCUUUAGGACAAAAAGAUGUAGAUAUAUUUUGUUGUAUUUAUCUACAUCUUUGUUUAUAGAGAAUCGACUGAAUUGCAAAAUUUUAGCGUCUGCUAUGAUGAAUGUCACCUGACUGGUAAUCAUUUUAGGGCUUCCUGACUCAGUACUACGAACAACUGCCAGUAAGUCUAGAGAAUUUGAGGUUGUAUAAGGGAAACACCGAAGCAAGGGAUCUGAAGACAAGUUGCCAAUGCAAAGUAGUCUUGUAGUUUUUAUUCGGGAACUAAUCAGCCUUACACGCUUAAAGACAUGCGAGGAGGGCACUUGUAUUAGGUCAUUGACUCAACUUCAACAGAGGGCAAGGAUGCUUCUACAUCAACAUUGAUUGAAUGAAAUCCAUGUAAUAUUUGUAAUUUUUCCCAGGGUCAUUCAUUUUCGGAUAUAGUUAGUGAUGUGAAUAUGAUUGUGACUAAUAUGCUAUCUAGCAUUUUGUAAAGUUUGGGUGGGCUAGAAAAUUGGAAAACAUAUUAGUUGGUAGCUGGAAGGUUGAAAUGAUCUGACCGGCAUUUUGUACAAUGCAGUUUGAAUUAAGUAAUUAACAGUAUUUGUGAAAAUUUGGGUGAUCAAGUUCAACAUUGCUUAAAGGUCAUAAUGCUUGGCACUGGUUAAAUGUAUAAAUUAUAUAUCAUUAUUAAAUUAUAUUUAAUAUUAAUUAUUUUAAAUUAUAUAAAUUCAUAUAAGAAAAUUUAUUAUCAAGAAUUUUAUGAAAUUAUAUAUCAUUAUUAAAUUAUAUUUAAUAUUAAUUAUUUUAAAUUAUAUAAAUUCAUAUAAGAAAAUUUAUUAUCAAGAAUUUUAUGAAAUUAUAUAUUAUUAUUAAAUUAUAUUUAAUAAUAAUUAUUUUAAAUUAUACAAAUUCAUAUAAGAAAAUUUAUUAGGUAUAAUUAUUAUAAAUUUUAUUAAAUCAUAUAUUUUAAUUAAAAUAUAUUUAAUAUUAAUUAUUUCAAAUUAUAUUUUAUAGUAUCAUAUAUUAUGAUUUGAGUAAAUUCAUGUAAGAAUAUUAAUUAUUAAGAAUUUUAUUAAAUUAUAUAUUUUAAUUAUAAUAUAUUUAAUAAUAAUUAUGUUUAAAUAUGAUUAAAUUAUUUAUUAUUGAUAAUAAUAAUCUUAUUAAAAUUUAAAUAACAAUAACAAUAAUCAUUUACCAAAACAAAUUUAUGCUAAGGGUAUUCUAGUCAUUUUAGUUUUUUCCAUUAUGCUAUUACACCUCUAUUCCAUUCAACCAAACACAAGAUUACUAUUACGCCUCUAUUCCAUUACAUUCAACCAAACAGUUGAUUUGCUAUUACACCUCUAAUCCAAUACACAUCUAAUCCAAUACAGCGAACCAAACGCACCCUUAAUGAUGCCUUCCUUUGCUGUUAAAAAGAAGCAAAACGGAAUAGGGUUUUGGAGGAAUAAAUUAGUAAUUAUAUUGUUUUUAUGUUCAAGUGCAAGUAAUGAGUAUAAUGUCCUUUUGAGUAAAAUCCAAAAAAGAAUCUUAUAAAUUUUAAGUAAUAAUAUUAAAUUCAAUACAAUAGUUUGUUAAAAUCAUAAAUUAUAAGCUCUCUUUUUUUCUCGCCAAAUAGCUGUUAAGUAUUUCUUUCGGUCUAAGCCUAUGUUAUGCUUCACUUUUCUUGAGUUCAAUGCAGUUUAUCAAAUGUUCAAUUAAUCCUCUAUAAUUAAACUUAUCUUUUUAAAGGUUGAAAUUAAAACUUCAUUUUUGCGAUAGUAAAAUUACAAUCAUAUUUUUAUAAUUUUUAAAGGACUAAAUCAAUUUUUUAUCAUUUUUAAAAGAGUAAAGUAUAAUUUUACCUUUACUAAUUUAAGUUUUUAAAAAAUUUAAAGGGCCCCUCACAGUCCCCUGGUACGCCCCUGCUUUGCUUUAGAUGUUUGAAAGUGUCCCUUCUUUCGUUACAUAUAUAAUUCAUAUUUGUGAGUUUAAAAAAAAUAAGAUUUAUAUUUGUAUAAAUGAUUAUGUGAUUAAUAAUUGUUAUACCUACUCUACGUGUUAUCAACAACCAUGUUAUACGCUAAUGUAUCCAUAUCAAACAAAUCUCUAACCAGGCGAACGCCAGACCUUAGUAGAUUGAUGAACCUUCAUAAGAUUACUUUCGCUAGGUAUGUGUGAGACGCAUGUGGGGACUUAGACUUAUUAAUUACCUAGUUUUCCUAAGAAAUUAUAUCAUAGGACAUCACAUCACCGCCACUGUAAGGGAACAAGGUACAACUUCACUGUAAGAAGUUAUAUCAUAGAACGUCAGACCUCACAUAUAUGUUCAUCAUAUCGUAUGAGAACAGGCCAAGACACAAAAAUCACCUCCCAUCUUUCCUUAUUCUCCUCCUACCAAGAACAAUCUCCCAAGACCAUUCUAUCACCAUUCAGUGGCUCUCCGCCCAACUGUGGAUGAACUUAGGGGUGUAAUCGAGCCGAGCUCAAAUAUUGCCAAGCUUGAACUCGACUCGAAAUUCAAAGCUUGAUACUCAACUCGAGCUCAUCAAACAUUUAUUUUUAAGCUCGAUUAAGCUUGUUUAUCAUUUUUUACUCAAGCUCGAACUCGAGCUUAAGCUCGAUUUAAUUAUUAAGCUUAGGGUUAAUAAUAUAUAUUAAGGGCAAUAACGUAAUUUAAUCAUAUAAAAAUAUGAAAAGCUCGAUAAGGCUUACGAGCCGAUCGAGUCAAGUAUUAAUAAGCUUGAAUUUGGCUCGAUCAAUAGCUUGGGUUGCUCAAGCUUGGCUCGAUAAUUGCCAAAUUGAAUUCAUAUUUUUAGUCGAGCUCGAGUAGCUUGUGAACACCAGUGUCUCAUUUACACCCUUAAGUGAACUACCACCAUAUCAUUCAUCUCCUCAUUCUUGUUAAUCCCACCGGUUAACAAAGUAAAAUAUAAUAGAUAAAAAUUAAUUGUAUUUUAUACCGAACCUAAAGGGCUAAAUGUCUUUUACCCCUAUUAUUAAUGCUUCUUUAAUGUGAUCGUAAAAUCAAGAAAGGUUCAUUGUCAUGUUAAUUAAUAAUUUAAUUAAGGGUUAAUUUUUGAUACAUUGACGGUAUAUAAUUCUAUGCAAUAUCAGUUAACCAAAUGAUGCCACAUCAUUAGAAAUAAAGUGAAUUUAGUUUUAAAACUUUUUAAUGAUGUGUAAUCGUCUAAUUUACUAAUGGUGCAUAGAAUUAUAUACUAGCAGUGCAUCAAAUAUAAACACUGUUAAUCAAUAUUAUUUUUUAUUAGAGUAAACUACACUAGUAGUCAUCCAACUACUAGUGAAUUUUUUUUUAUUACACAACUAUGAAAAGUUACAAAAUGAUCACUAAACUAUUCAGUUUUGUCUUUUUUGGUCACCAGCCGACUAACGGCAGCAACAUUUAAAAUUGGCAUGAUAACAAGUUUAACGCUCAACAUUAAUAAAUUACGUCAAUUUAGUAUUGAUUCUAAAAAAUUAAUCCUAAACAUUUACACAUUGUGUAAUUUAGUCUUCUUCUUUUUUCUGCAGGUUUGCUCUUUUUUUUUUUUUUUGUAAAGCUUUGCAAUUUUGCUUUUAUUUGUGAUAUUGAAGGUUAAUUUUAAAAGAAUGAGAAAAGAUGAAAAUUAUUAUCUUGGAUUUUUUGCUAUUUCCAUUUUUUGUAUAUUUUCAAUCAAAUUUAGCUAAUACUUCUUUUAAGCUUUUUAGGUGAAAGGGUCACAAUGAAAAGCAAAACUGCAAAAAAGACUAAAUUACACAAUGUGUAAAUGUUGAUGUUGAUGGGGAAAUUUUUUAGAAUUAAGACUAAAUUGACACAUUGUAUAAAUGUUGAGGGUUAAAGUUGCUAAGUUGCUAUUAUGCCAAUUUGAAAAGUUUUCACCAUUAGUCGGCUGGUGACCAGAAAAGAGAAAAUUGAAUAGUUUGGUAACCAUUUUGUAACUUUUCAUAGUUAGGUGACCAAAAAAGAAAUAUAUUAAUAAUUGGAUAACUACUAGUGUAGUUUACCCUUUUUAUUAUCACAUAAUAAUAUAUUAAAAAUGUUUUUAAAAUGUCAAUUCAAUAAUAUACAGAGUAAUAUUCAAAAGUUUAUCUAAAUUCGUAUUUUCAUAAAUACUAUAUUACAACACAUUCAGAUAUGGGUAAAAAAAUUAUAUAAAAAUAUAUUUUUAAAAUUUUUAUCUAAAAUCUAAACAAAGCUUUAGUUAAAAUGGUGAAUAAUAUUUUAGGUUCAAACCCAAUAAAUUGUGAGUUUUAUAUUUAGUCAUUAUUUAAUUGAUCUAAUAUUCGAUUAAUUCGUAACAUCAACUCGGUCAAAGAUUUAAUAUAUAGUAUAAGUAGAAUAGAGUUGUUGAAAUUUAUCUAUCAAAAAAAAAACUUAUUGGAGACAACAUACUUUUUAAAAUUUUGAAAUAAAUAUCUAAGAGAUACAUGUACCAUAGAGUGAAUAAAUACAAUUUAUAACUGAACUCUGUGUGUUGGUCUGAUGAUUAAGGUGUUCAUCGCCUUAAGUGUCACUUGAAUUCGGUCACGCUAAUCGAGUUGCUAUUAAGAAUUAAUUCCAAAAUUUAAAAAAUCUAAAAGUGUUCUUUGAAACAUUAAAAAUUACGAAAAAAAAAUUAUUAAAAUUCAGAAAAAGUUGUUCAGAUAAUUUUUUUUAAUGUUUAAACUACAAAAUUGAGCUAACUUGUCUUUGUUAACCAGAUUACUCCAAUAGUGGACGGCGAGCGAGCAUUUCCUCAAGAUAUGGUCGAUAUUUUCGACGCUGGCAUCGCAAAUAUAACAGGUCGGAUUUUUUAAAAAGAGUUAAAAGUUAUUUUUUAAUGAAAAUAUUGAUUAAAAUGUUAAUUUUUUAUACAUGUCUGUAUGUUUAUUUUAUGUUUUUUUUUAUGAAAUUUUUAUAUAUUUUAAAUUUUUUUUGAAUAUUUUAUAAUUUUAAAUUAUUUUUUGACGUAACAUAUAUGACAAGUAGUAUCAUAUUAGCAUGAAGUACACAUGGAGUGCUAUACGAGUUGUCAUGCUAACUUUGUUCAAAAAUUGAUAUUUUAGUCAAUAAUUUUAUUUAAAACAAUUUAAUUAUUAAAAAAAAGUUAAUAAUCAACUUUAAUUCUAAAAAGAAUAAACAUCAAAUUAAAAAAAAUUAAAGAUUAAAUUUGAGAGACACAUGAAUUUCCACAUUUUAAGCAAAGCAUCGUAUAAGUUAUAUGAAAAGAAUCACCAGCCUUUUUGAAAAAUGGAAGCAAUGUCAUUGCCACUCCUACACUUUUGGUACGUUCUCUGCUUUAGUAAACAAUAAUUCAUUGAGCCAAUAUUUUAGCCUUCUUUUUUCUUUUUUACUUCACAUCAAAUUAUUGAACUCUAAAUAACAAAAAAAAGUUAUAUUUAAACUAUUUGUAUCAUCUUUUUCCCACAUAUUAUUCAAAUUAAAAUGUAAAAAUAGUAAAAAUAAAAUUGUAAUUAAUUAUGUAUAUACUAUUAUUUAUGUAUGUAACUUUAUUAGUAUUAUGAGUUAUACUAAUCCAAUUACAAAUUUUAAAUAAUUAUAUUAUUAUAAUUUUUUAUCUUUUCCUAUAUUUAUAUUAAUUUUAUAAAAAAAUAAAUUUAGAAAAAAUGUACAAAUGACAAAAUUUUAACCUAAAAUAUCCCUCGAUAUUAUAAAAUGACAUGUGUGUGUCUUAGUUACUAAUAGACUUGUUCAUAGGUUGGGUCAGGAAGGAAGGGUUUGGGUAAAAAUAAGACUAAAAAAAUGAGCUUGGACAAAAAAAUAAGGCCCAUUUAAAAAACAGACCAAGCCCUGAGUAAGACAUUUUUGGCCCGGGCCAGGAUCGGCCCGAAUUCACUAAAAGACAAAAAAAUCUACUAUUUUUUUUUUCUAAUACUAUUUUCUUAUUGUUUUCUCCCUAUUUUGCUAUCAUUUUACUAUUAUGUUGCUACUAUUUUGUUGUUAUUGUUUGGAUAUUGUAUAAAACUUAUUUUAUUGUUAAUUUUGUUAUUAUUUUAGAGGCAUUUGUUUGUUAAGUUGCAUCUAUCUUAGUAUUAUUUAAGUAUACAUAUUUUUUAAAAUUUAUUUUCAAUUUGCUGAGAAAUAUUUAUUUUGAUUUUUUAGUAUUUUUGAUAUAUUAUAUACAUUUAAAAAUUAUAUAAAAUAAUUAAUACAGGCGGGCCAGGCCAGGCCAGGCUCGGGUUUUCACAUUUUUAUCCGAGUUGAGCUUGGGAAAAAUUUUAGGCCCAUUUUUCGAGCAAGGUUGGGCCCAAGCCUAGCAAAUAGACCUGAAUUUUUAGUUGGACCCAGCCCAUGAACACCUCUAGUUACUAGUAUAUAGUAAAAUUAACUUAUGAUAUCCUUCUCUAAAAUUUAUGAAGGCUUAAUUGAUAUUUUAAUUAUUUGACAUGAAAAAAUGUUGAUGUAUAGGGUUUAAUUGUUAUUUUAAUUAUUUUAUGAGGGCUUAAUUAAUUUUUUAAUUAUUUUAAAAGGGUUUAAUUAAUUUUUAAUUAUUUAAGUCUAAAAUUAUUAAAAUAUUAUUUAAAAAUUAUAGAAAAAAUAUAAAUAAUAUUAUCUCCAAGGUUUGAACUUAUGUUCUCUCCUUAGGAUUGUAAUAUGACUUACCACUAUACCCAACACUUGUUGAUAAAAACUUAUAAAUAAUAUAAAAAUCAAAUAUUAUUAAUAUAGUUUGUGGUUAUGAUUUGAACCAAAAUGCUUUUAGCCAUUAGAUCAAAUUGAAUGGUUCUAAGCAUUAGAUUUAUGAUUUAACUUAUCUCAUUAAAAUAAAAAGCACACCACUCAAUCAAUUUUCCUUUCUUUGAGAUUAUGCAAAAGAAAAUCUUUCAUGUUAUUGAUCUAAAAAAUUUCCAAAAUUACAAUUGUUUAUUUGUACUAGAAAUAUAGAUUUUGCAUUUGCACAAUUCAUGUUCAAGUUGUUUUUGUAACACCCCUUACCCGGUCCUGUCGUCGAACCCAAGCUAUAGGAUGUUACAACAGUUAACAGAAGAGUUCACAUAUAUUUCUGACUUUAAUAUUCAAUAAAUCAACAAAACAUUUCAUAAUUCAAGUACAAUAUGAUUACAACCAAAACUGAGUCUCAAUCGAGCUUACGAAGCUCUUGAACCAACUUGAAAACAAUUUAGGACUAAUUUGAAAAUUUUACAAAAAUAUAGGUAAAAAGGUAAAACAGGGGUCACAAGGUCGUGUGGCCAAAUCGUGUGACAGGCUGAUGCCGUGUGGAGCUAGAUGGCAUGGUCGUGUACCUAAGCCGUGUAACAAAUUGAAGUCAUCCACCCAAAUAAACAUACCAAAAUGGGCAAGUUCAUAAAGUUGAACACCAAGCACAUAUAUAUAUCACAUCUAUUACAUGCCACUUAUAAUUGAUAUGAGAUGAAUCAAAGAUUACCAAAAAAACCAUUGGAUAGUAUGAGCCCUAGAAGUGAUCCAAUAGCCAAGUUUAGCAAAUAUGCAACUACAAAAGACAUAAAAUAAAACGGGGUAAGCAUUGACAUACUUAGUAAGUUCAUAGAUGUUUAGACAAGAUUCUUACCUCAGUUUACAAUUACGUAAACAUAUAUAACAAAUUUUAUACGAUUUCCUAUCAAGACAUUUACAAUAACGAGGUGAGCAUUUCAUGUAUCAAGUGUAUAAUCUCACUAUCAAUCACUAUGAUAUGUUUCUGUAUCAUUCAAUAGGAAGGAUCCAACAUAUAAAUCAUAUUAAACAAUUGAUCGCAUCAAUUCAUAUUCACAAUCAAAUACCAUUUCUUUUAAACAUAUAGCACUGUCACUGCAUAUCACAUUUAUAAAUUAAGCGUUUCAUACAUAUAAACUAUAAACUUUCUAGUCAUUUUGAUAUCAUUUCCAAAUAACUUUUAAACACAUACUCAUCAUUCGUUCAAUUUCAUCGGUUAACAUUUCAAUGGUCGUACUAACAUAUCAUUUCCAAACAAUUCAUGCAGUCAAUCAAUAUAUGUUCUUUUAAUAGUUAGCCCGAUGAACUAUAGUUGUCACAACCCAAUUUCGACCCUAAUUGGACAUAGUGGUUUCAGGACUACAAAUCCGAGUCUGAAAAAUAUUUUAAUAUUAUUUUAUGUGUUAGUUAUAUGUGAAAUUAUAUGUGUGAAAGUUUCGUGAAAUAAUUUUACUGUUUGAGUGCUUAAUUUGAGAAAAUAGCUUAAUCGUGUAAAAUGAAAAUUUAGGGGUUAAAUCUAAAAGCACCUAAUUGUUGUUAUCUUUUUAAAUGGGAGGUUUAAAGAUACAAAAAGACCAAAAUUCAAGAUAGUGGUUGGCAAUGGACAACUUGAUCCUUAUGUUAUAUGAAAUAUAAAUUAUUUAUUUAAAGGUUAAAAAGGGAAACUAAUAAUACCUUAAUAUAUGUUAAUUAAAAAAAACAAAGCAAAAUUCAAUGGUUGUCAUCUUCAUUAGGCCGAAACUAGCUAGGGAGAAAACCAUUAAAACAAACUUAAGGUUCGGCAAGUUACAACCUUGAUUCAAGGUAAAUUUUGUUUCGGUUUUUUAUAAUUCUUACGUUUUUGAGAUCAUUGCUUUAUGUACUACAAGACCCAUGCUUUAAUUUUAGAAUUUGAUGGUAAUUUUGAGAUAUUCCAUUGAUGAAUGUUUGAUCUUUUUGAUAGUUGAUGAUGAAAUAUGAAAGAUAUGUGAAAGAUUAACAUGUUUUGUCUUUGAAUUUUUGGUGAAAUGGAGUAAUUAGGGCUAAAUUGUGAAAAUAAAUUUUUGAGGGACUAAAAUGUGAAAUAAAUGAAAUGUGUGGACUUGUAUGAACACUAGGAACAUUCUGCCCUAGCAUGGUGUGUUUAAAUUUUGUGUAUUUUGUGUUUUGUGCAAAAAGAACUAAAUUGCAAAAAAGUGUAAAAUAUCAGGGGCAAAAUGGUAAUUUUCCCAUUUAUGAAUUUUUGGAUUUAAUUGAAUGAUUUGAUGAAUGAAAAGGCUAAAUUUGAAUAUUUUUAGAUCAAGAAACGAAGAAAACAAAAUUAGAUCGGGGAAAAACGAAAGUAGUCGAGUAGUCGAUCGUGUCCGUCGAUAUCCGAGGUAAGUCAAUUAGCAAUUAAAUGUUAUCUAAAUUGAAUAUAUAUAUUUAUCAUACAUAUGAUAAGCUGGAACUUAAAAUAUGUAAAUUGAAUAAAACUUUGUAAUUUUCCUAUUUGAUAGUCGAAUAUAGAAUUGAUCUUCGUAGGUUGAUUUUAAUGAUACAAAUUACAUGUAUGUUAGCUAAAGUAUGAUUUAAGUUUAAUGAUAUGAAAUUAAUAGUAGAAAAUAUAUAUAUAGACAUGUAAUUCGAAUGUAAGGCUUAAUUUCUUUGGGUUGAAUUUAAAGUUAUGAGUUAUAAAUAUAUGGUUCGAAAGUAUAUUACAAGUUCUUGAGCUAAAAUUUAAUAUUAUGAAUUACAUAUAUUUAUAUGCAUGUGGCUCGAACAUACAUAUAUACAUAUAUUCAAGUUCUUGAGUUGGAGAAUUGAUGUAUGAAUUUUAUAUACAUAAGGAGGUUCGAACAUAGGUUACAAAAUACUUUGAGCUGAAGUUAAUGUUUUUGAGUUAUAUCUAUAUGGUUCGAAUGCAUGUUUACUAUGAAGAAUCGAAUAUAAUUUAAUGUUGUGGAUAUACGGUUAUUGAGUAAAACUUAUGUAAAUAUAAAGAACUAUACGAAAGAAUCAUCUUUAUAUCUGAGAUUUUCAGGCUUGUGCUUAGUAGGCUUAAUGCCGGUGAAAUCUUCUAGACUAUACGUCUAGCAGGCUUAAUGCCGGUGUACUGGAUCAGGCUUCAAGCCUAGCAGGCUAUGUGACGGUGAAUUUGUUCAAAACAUGUGUUUAGAAAGUUCUUGUCAAUGUAAUAUUAAAUGCAGUUGGACAUGUGAAUGAAUUUUAUCUGCAGGUAUGUGUUAGUUAAAUUUUAUCUAUGCUAUUGACUUACUAAGCUCUCAAUGGCUUACUGUAUGUGUUUGUGUCUAUUUAUUUUUGUCUUAUAGAUUUUGAGGUUGUUACGAGCUCGGGGAUCGUCAGUAAAGCUUAUCAUACUAUCGACAAAUAACGGUAUCUUAAGUUGAAAUUUCUUUUGAGACUAUGGCAUGUAUAGACUAGCAUUCAAAUUGUUUAUUUUGAAAGUAUAUAUGUAUUAAAGCCGUGCGAAUAUGGCUUACUUAGCUUGUCUUGCUUGGUUUGGUUCGAAUUAAAGAUUAUGCAUAGUUUAGUUGUGGUUUGGCAUUAUAUGAAUUAUGUCAUAUAAAUGAAUGUUAUGUGCAGUUGUUUGAUUUAGUUAUAAGCUGAAUAUAUAUAACAUGUUUAUAGAUGGAAGUGUGCAUUGUUUUAGAAUUGAGUUUGGUUAUGAAUAUGCUAAUGAAAAGCUAAACUCGUGAGUAGAGGUGCUCAUGGGCCGGGCCGGGCCCAGGAAAAAAUUUCGGCCCGGGCUCGGCCCUGCCCGACCCGAAAUAUGGGCCUAGAAUUUUGUCCAGGCCCGGCCCGGGAAAAAAUUCAUAAGCCCGGGCCCGGCCCGGCCCGGUCCGUUUUUAAAUAAAUACCAAAAAUUUAUUUUAAAAUUAAAACAAAAAUUAAAAAAAAGUAUUUUAAAAAUAUUUUAAAAUUUAAAAAAAUUAAAAAAUUAAAAAAAAAGUAUUUUAAAAUUAAAAAAAUUAAAAAUAUUUAUUAUAUUCGGGCCGGGCCAGGCCGGGGCCGAGGCCCGGUCCGUUUUUUAAUCAGGCCUCAUUUUUUUGCCCAAGUCCAUAUUUCGGGCCUAUAUUUUUACCCAAGCCCGACGGCCCGCCCGGCCCAUGAGCACCUCUACUCGUGAGGUUGGAUUUUAUAUGAAAGUAUAUAUGUAUAAAAUGGGAUAAGGUAAUGAAAUGAAAACUUUUGUAAGUGAUUUAAAUAUAGAUAAUUAUGUGUAUGCAUAUGCGGUUUUGGCAUAUAUAUAUAUAUUUGAUAAGUAAAGUUUGGCUUUGUGGUUUAUGACAUUUUGGACUAAGAUGAUGUUUGACUAUGUAUGUUCGGUUUGGUUAUAGUUUAAUGUUAAGUAUAAUGUUUCAUAUUUUAAUUGAGCAACCGUUUGAUAUAUAUAUAUAUAUAUAUAUAUAUAUAUUCGAAUACAUCUAGAUCAAUUAAAUUUAGUUGAGUUAAUAAGUAAUGCAACCUUGUUUUAAUAGAAAUGGUUCAGUAUGUGCAUUUAGCAUUUAAAUAUUAAAUGUGAUCAGAACAUUUUGUGUAUUGCAUUAUAAGAUUAAAUUUAUAAGCCGUACUUGUAUUAUUUUUUGAAUUCGACAAAUAUAGAAUAUGUUUUAUUGUUUAUAUGCAAGAUGUUUAAAUAAAUGUAUACAAAUUUAUUUAUUUAAAACUGUUUGUAAAUUAUGAUUUUGUAUUUAAUUGUGUUCAAUUAUGUUAUGUUUGGUAAUGUCUCGUAACCCUAAUCAGGCGACGGAUAGGGGUUAUGGGUGUUACAAUAGUAACAUAAUUCAGAUACUCAAUUAUCCACCCAAAACAGGCCAUAAUGCUCAAAUGAUGUUAAACCAACCAAGAACACGCCUAGGCACUGAGUGCCAAGUCUGAAGGCUAACAUCACUCUAGAAACACGCCUGGACACUAAGUGCCAAGCCCGAAAGCUACACAUCCUCCCCUAGAAACACGUCUGAAUCACUGUAAAUAUAACUCGGUAAUCCGCAAAAAAUGCUGGAUACCGAUACAUUCAAUAAACAUAUAAACAUAUCAUCUGUCAUCAUCUCAUCUCACAUUAAACUCAUACAACGCGUGAUAUAACCCUAUUGGCAUACCAAUCGUAUCUUAAUUGUUUACUACAUUCAAAUGGGCAUUUAAACAUGACUUGUAAUAUUUAUAAAUUAGGGGCACUUCCAUGUUCUCAGUACACAUGCUAUAAACAAGUCACAUUAAUUCUGAAUCCACAUGAAUCAUGUUUCACCUGUAUUCAACAUUUCUCAAUUAAGUCCUUACUCAACUUAACAUUAGUUUAUAACAUUUCAAUUCCAAUUCACAAUAUUAAUAACAAAUAUAUUCGUAAUUCAACAGCAGCAAUAUAUGUAUAAUAAGUUGAUUUAUAGGGACUAUUAUACAAUUUUCACUUUUUUCCUAAUUUUCCUCCGUAGGAUUGAAUCCUUAAUCAUACAAAUGAAAGAAAGCUUGGACGAAAACCCUUAAACUUGGCAAUGGAGUAUUCGGUGUUUGAGAAGAAAAAAAUAAGGAUGAAGGUGGUCUCUUUUGUUGUAUUCAUUUUGAUUUAUUAUUACUUCACUUAAUAUAGGUGUAAUUGCACUGUUAAACCUUGAUAAUUAGUUUAAUAAGCCUUAACUCAUUAAAAAAUUCAAUAGUGAUAUUAUUUUAUAAUUUUUACGAUUUAAUCUUUUUUUCUUAAUUAAUUAUCAAAUCAUCAAAAUUUUCUUACCAAACUUCAAUCCACUUAUAUAAUAGCUCCGUAAAUAUUUAAUAAUAAUAUUUAUAAGCUCAAUUUAUGAAUUUUGGUAUGAGCCACGUGUAUCUCAAUUAACUGACCAAUUAAUAAAAUCUAUUAAAUCACGAUUCACUAUUAUACUAUAUUUAACUCAUAAAUAUUAAUUAAAUAUAACUACGAAACCACUAAAAAACGAAUUGUUAUAAUUUUCUCUUUUAUUUUUCAAUAUUAAUCUUAAUUGAAUUGCUAAAUACUGUAUUGUGAUUUGCCGCUUAUAAGAUUGUAUUAUCGCCAACUAUUAAAAUAUUGAAAGUCUAUAUGGUCAUGGAGUAAACAGAAUAGAUGAGCUGAUCCCAGUAGAAUAUUUAGUAAUUCCAUUAAUAUUAACAUUGGAAGGCUAUAUGGUUAUGGAUUAAAAAGAAAAAGAAAUCUGCCUCAACAUGGAUUUGCAAAUACAAAAUUUAGAUCUCUACUAUCAACAAUCAAUUCUAUACUGUAGUGUUAGAUGAAUUGUAAUUUUGGGUUUUUUAAAUUAAUGACAUCAAUUUUUUUUUAUAUAACAUUAAAGAAAAAGAAGAGUAUCCUGCUUUUUAUUUGAUUUUAUGGUUAAAUAAAAAAUAUAAAAAUAUAUAAUUAUUUCCUUAUUUUCAUGGUUGGUACUCCAUAUAACUCCAAUCAUCUUCAUACUUUUAAGCUCUUCAUUUUCUUAUUUUCUGUAAUUUUCUAUAAUUUUUAUAUUUUUAUUAUUUUCUAUAACUUAUUGAUUGUGUUCUAUAUUUUUUAUUUUUUUCUAUAAUUUUAUAAUACUUUUCAUAACAUAUUUAUUUUAUUUUAUACUAUUUAUUUUAGAUUUUUAUAAUAUUUUAAUAAUUUUACACUCGAAUAAUAAAAAAUUAAUGAAGUCCAGAAAAAUAAUUAAAAAACAAUUAAACUCUACACAUCAAUAUUUUUUCAUGUUCAUACAUCAAAUCAGCACUUAAUUGUUAUAUUAUCCACUUAGUCCGCAUUUAACCGUUGUUAAAAGCUUCAAUUGAGAAUUAUAUUUUAAGGGCUCAAUUGGUUACUAACUUUAUAUUAAGUGCUCACAAUUUUCCAUUAAAAACUUGAUUGAUUUUUAAUUAUUUUAGAAAAAAAAAAUUAAUUAUUUAAGCGUAACAACUUUUUAGUUUUUAAUUACUAACAACUAAAAUAAUAUCAAAAUUCUAGAUUUAAUUUGUUAGUAGAAGCAAAGCAGUCCUGUUUCCAAGUGACCAAAACUUCUUUCCUCGCGAUGAGGAAAAACAGAUGGGUUAAUGUACAUAUAGAUUUUGGUGUUAAAAAUAUAUUUAUUUGUUCACCAUCUUCAUCUACAAUGCUCUUAACACUCUUUUCCAUUCCGUUUCCUUGUAUACAAGGCCUCAACCAAUAAUUCCACACGGUUCCGGCUUCACGACAAUUCUUGCUUACCAUAAACAAAUUUGCAUUAACAAAACAAUAUUUUUCAAAGUGAAUUUGUAGUUGGAAUUCUUGCCUUGUGAGGGCUAUUCACAUGCUUAAUCCCAUGGUGAUCAAGCUUUGUUUGUAGCUGUUGGGGUGUCCUUGCCGAUGAGUCCUUUGUUACAUGGAGUCGAUCUAAUGAUGCUAGAACAUCAAUCAUGCACGGUCUGUUCUUCGGAUCCUUAUGCAAGCACUGCAAUGCGAGUGCAGCCGCAGCUUGUGCUCCUUUCUUUGAGUACUGGCCUCCUAACCUCGUGUCCAUUAUCCGUAGUACUUUCCUGUUGUCACUUAGGAAUGGUUUUGCCCAUUCUACUAGUGUUUCUUCCGAAAACCCAAAAUUCUCAUCGUCCAUUGCUCGCCGUCCUGAAAGUAGCUCUAAUAGUACAACACCGAAGCUAUACACAUCACUCUUUGGGGUCAAAUGACCUGCAUGCAAGGUUUAAACUGGUUCGUUAGUAGGAUCAAUAACCCUUAAUUGAAAUCCACUUAAAGCAAAAAAAAAAUGCAGUGACAAAACAGAAGGAUCAUUACAUAUCAAUAUACCAAAGGUGUUUCUCCCAAUAUCAGCUGCUCUUUUAAGAGCACUAAUUUCAAACCUGAACACUCCUGAGAAAACUAAAUUUACAAACCUAGUUUGUCUUCGCUAUCAACGGAGUCUUGCAUCUUAACCAUUCUAUGUUAUUCCAACCCUUCCUUUUUUGUGUGUGCAACUGGAUGAACUGCUAAGCCACUAACAAUCUAGAUGUCCUUGGCCUAGAACUCCAAAGAAAUAUUCCUGUAAAAGAAUUCCGCAAGCAUGGUGGUGGUUCGAGCACCACAGCAUUGCUACAGAGCAAUUUCCAAGCCGUUAACGAUGCGACAAACUAAUUGCUGGUAUGAUCAUGCUAAGCAUAUUAUGUUCAAUUCUAGGCCUCUUGUACAUGUCAUAUACAGGGGAAGUAGUGGAGAGAGACCUAAUGGCUCGGCACAAAAAUGUUUUUUUCCGGAAUUUGCCAAAAGGUCCUCAGGAAUGCAGGAGAUCGUACUGGAGGCAAAAUGUGUGUAGGCUUGACAAUUUCAAGAUUUUGUUUUCAAACCUUAGUUCAUUUACUAUAAUCAAAGCCACACGAUACAACUUCAGUUGAUUCAUUCAGUUUAUUAGUAUUUUAUGGCUAUAGGCAAAUGGAGAAGAAUCUCAAGCUCGAACGGACAUUGAACAUGCUCCUACACUCAUGCUCAGCAUAGACUAAUAGCAGCCUCUCAAGAUUAGUAUGCUGAAGUUAUGGUUGUAAUCUAUGAUAACCGAACUCACCAUUUAUGGCCACCGUACCGGUGCCAACACGACAUUGCUACAGAAAGUUCAACUACAACUGCAUUUGGAAGAAGGGAUGGAAUUUGAGAAAGAAGGAAAAAGAAUCCGCUUAGCUGGAGAAAAAUGGAAAACAGGACAACUUCCAUCCUUAGGCUGUUGCAUUUGCAAUCCAAACAACUAGCGUAUAUGUAAUGUAACAUAAGUUAACUGUAGUGUAAAAUCUCAUCUAUCUCUAUUUCUUUUUCUUUCCUUGACUUCUUUUUUUUUUUUUUUUGAAUCACAUUAAUAAGAAGAAAGGUAUAAGAUACCAAAAUAAUCCCUCUAUGUUGCUCCCAUUCUUCAUUUUCUUGAACCAUCCAUGAGCAACACGUAUUCAGACAUGAGUUUGGGGAUAUAACUCUCCAAAAAUCCUCCAGAUACAGGGAAAACUGAAAAUUAUUUUAACAUACCCAUGCCAAACAUAUACUCUUACCAACAUACACCCGAAUCUGAGUAAUAAUUUUCUCUACUCAUUAUCAUACUCGGUUUUAACUGCACUAUUUGAAGGAAAGGUGAUGAACACACCUGUGGCAACAUAUUCUGGGGCUGCAUAACCUUGAGUUCCAACAACUCUGGUCGAAACAUGGGUGUUAUCACCAGUUGGACCAUCUCUUGCCAACCCAAAAUCUGAAAGCUUUGCAUUGUAAUCCUACAUAAGUUUAUAGGCAACAGCAUCAGUCAUUAAAUCAAAUGGGGAUGUUCAAUAUAACAUCUCUGCCGUACAACUCAAUCAAAAGUGACAAUGUUUGAUAUGUCAGCAUUACCGAAUCUAGAAGAAUGUUGGAAGCCUUUAAAUCACGGAAGAUUACAUUAGCAUCUAGACUAUGUAAAAAGGUCAAUCCCUGUGCAACCUGUCUGGCAAUAUGCAUCCGUGUAGCCCAAGAAAUUGGUUGAACACCCUCUGAAAGAAGAAAACAAUAAUGGUUUUAGUGUUAGUACGUUUCUCUGACUCUUCAUUUUUCUAUAAGUACCUAUAUCCGAUAUAUAUUUUUCGGACAUGAGAAAAAAGAAACACGAAAGCACUCAAACCCAAGUUCGAGUAAUAUAGCCAGAUCCUAUCUUGAUUAACCAUUCAGACUAAUGAAACAGAAACAUUAAAAAUGACUCGUAUAUGCAAAAACUGUCACCAUCCUAAGAGUCAUGCAACUCCAGCUGCCCUGCAUGCCAAUAGGAGACAACUAGGUUCAUACAAUAUGGUUUAAACUCACACAUUGACAAGCCAUUGAUACAUGGUAUAUGCUUUAACAUAAUGAGAAGAAGAUCAAUGUAAAAAAGAGUGAGAGAGAAGCGUACUUUUAAAUAAAUGAUUCUCCAAACUUCCCUUUGGCAUAAACUCAUAAACCAAAAGUCUAUUCUCAAACUCCACGCAAUAACCAAUGAGUUUCACAAGAUUUUCAUGGCGAAGCUGACCCAAAUAGUUAACUUCCGCCUACAAAAUGUUGAUCGGCAAUCAGGCUACAAAUAUGAACUCGCAAAAUUUGAAAAAAGAAAAACUAAACUUAUAAGCAAAAGCUUUACGUACAAGCCAUUCCUUGUGCCCUUGGAAGCUUUCUAACUUGAGUUUCUUGAUAGCUACAACAAUUCCGGUUCCCGGCUUGGUAGGCGCAAACGUGUUCUCAUCAAUCCAACCUUUAAAAACACAUCCAAACCCUCCCUCUCCGAGAAGUGUUUCGGACCGGAAGUUUUUGGUGGCAUUUUUAAGAUCACUAAAACUGAAAGACUUCAGACUGCUGGAAACAGAUGUAUCAGCUUUGAGGUUGCUGGAAACAGGUGUGUGAGGUUUAGAUGCUACAAAUGGUUUGUUCGAAGUUUCCAUAGGCGAUUUCUGGGUUGAAGAAGUUGAUUCCUGCUUUGUGUUACUAUGAGUCUUUGCACUACCUUAAACAACAAAAAGCAGAAUUUAUUUACUGACUUCUAAACCAUAUCAAAAUAAUACAAAUUCAUUCUUGCCACUGGUCUAAUAACCCAUACACACACAUAUCCAAGGAAAAAGAAAGCCAGAAACUGACUGUUACUAUUAUUUUGUUUGUGAUCAAUUUGAAGUUCAAACAUGCAUUUAAUUACUAAUGCAAAUUUCGGUGUUUAAUACUAACUUCACCAAAAGGAGAAGAAGAUAGUUGAUUGGAGCAUACAGGGGAACCCCUUUACAUUCAUAUCAUAUACAGAAAUUGAUUUAUUAUUAAAUGAACGCCCAUUCGUUUUCUCAUAGCCAGACUUCAAAAUACCUCCGCUAAACCAAACUAUUCUGUUGAUUCCAUCCAUAAGUUGCAUUUGAUUAAUCCAUUACAUAGCAAUACAAGAACUCAAACCCAGACAAUAUAUAUAUAUAUGUGCGUGCGUGUGUGUGUGUGUGUGUGUCUGAAAAGCUUAUAUUUAGACCCAAAAAAUAAAUAAAAUGAAGCAAAAAGAAAAGUGAGACUGACCUGAGAAAUUCGAGGAAGAAGCAUGAGCACACUUUGCUGGUUUAGGCCAGCAAAUACCCAUGACGGAAGAUCAAACAAUAAGGCUGAAAUGGUCAAAGCAUAUGGAGGAAGAAGAAGAAGAAUUCUUGACGAAACGAUAACCCAUUUAAGGGGACGUAGAAGAAAUAUACUACAAGAAGAUAACAACCCAAAGUCCAUUCCAUUUAAAGAGGUAUUGAAAACCCAAAGAAAAAAACAAAAGGGGGAGAAGGGUUGAAGGAGCAGGCAGCAAAGCAUGAAGAAAACACGCAAGAGAGGCGCAUAAUUAGUCAAUGGAAGGUGCCUGCCUAGUUUCAACAUGGAAAUGUCUACGUCUCUUUUAAAUGGUUCAAUUACUUUGAAAAUUCUUAAUCAAAUUCUAUGUUUCCUGGCCCCCGCAUUACGAAUUUGCAGUCCCCACAAAGGAAGAAAUUGCAGUCGAAUAUUGCCAUUUACAUCAUGCCUAUGCUCUGCAACUCUGACCGUUGAAUGCCAUACUCUUUAAAUUCUUGGCGCUUUCCUUUGUUUGCAUUGCAUUAGUAGGGGUCAAAUUUUUUAAUGUAUUAUAAUACAUUCAUUUUGGUCCCCUAUUUUUCCAAAAGGUGCGCUCUCAAUUCUGGAGCUAAUUUUUUCUCGGUUGAUUCUGUCAAUAAUUUGAAAUAACUUAUGAUAUAAUCAAUUUGACUUUUUUUACAUUUAAAAAAUACAAAAAAAUUCAACUUACAAAAGUGUACACACCAUAUCAUCACAUGUUUUAAAAACCUAAAUAAGAUACCAUUAAAUUAUUGACAAAAUUAACGACAUCCAAACUACAAUUACACAAUUAAAAAAAAUAAAAGAAUAAAAAUGAUAAAUUAUAUUAAAGGACUAAAACUGCAAAAAAUUAUGUAAUACAUAAACCUUCUACGUAUAGUUUUUAUUUUUUGGGUCGAUGACCUUCUAUACAAUGUCGAUAGUUCUGUUUAUAACAUAGGCUAGUAUUUGUACAAAUUUGAAAUUCCCGUUUUAAGAUUAAAUUAACUUUAUGUUAUUAUUAUUUUUAAUUAAAUUCAAAAAAAGUUAAUCUUAAUUCACAAAAUAGUAAUUGGUCUAAUUCAAAAUAAGAACCCGUAAGAGAGCAUUACCCCUUUCGUUCAUUUGCCUUCAAUUUGAAGGAGUUUUCACUCAUUUAUGUAACAUUUUUCUUCAUUGUAGAUAUACACGUUAUGUUAGUAAGUCUCUCUUAUUAGACACAAGUCCAAUGUGAGCGUUAAGCAGCUUUAUGUUGGCUAUGAGCGUUUGGUAUUACCUGUGCCAAUGACUACUGUCCAUGUUGAGUAAGAAUCUUGUUCUUGCAGCAGAAGCAACAAGGAUAGGCAUUGUUAUCAACAACCCACCACAGCAUUCUUUCAGUUUGGCAAGUGCCAUCCAAAUAGUGUCAUCACUGUUGAACACUUUGUGGUUUUGAGUAUGAAAGUAGGGGUGAGGAAGUCAUUGCGUCUCUUCCAACUGAAUAAAGCAUAAUAGGGGUCCUUUUUGCCAUUAGUCAUAUUGAGGGCUGCAUCAAUAGCAUCAAUGAGGUUUCUCUGUUAUGAGGGCUACCACAUUGUCUUUCAAAUUGAAAGCUUUUUUCACAAAGGUUUAUCAUCUCGGAUUUGGUCUCUCCCCAUGAAAAGAACUUUGUUCCUCUAUGUUGUUGUAUUAAGUGGGAGAAGAAGGUUGAAGGCAAUUCACACAAAGGAGUGCGGAGAGCCGCUGAAUCUUGGAUAUAGGGGAAAGGAGUCAACCAGUAAUGUGUGAGGCAGAAAAGGUCAGAUUCCAUGUCCCAUGCACGAGUCUUUACAUCUUUUAUAUACAAGUCUUUCUCAUGGUUUUUGUGUUGCCAAUUGUCCUCUAAUUGGUAGAUUUGAUGAGCCACGAUGACGAUUAGACACGUGGCUUUAAUGACUUAUGGAUGGUCAUGUCUAUAUAAGUCAACUUGAGUAAAUGGUGAUGGGACCAAACGAAGCCCACAUGGCACAAGGUUGGCGAAGUAUGUUGAUUACAUAGUGCGAAACGUAACUAUUUAGCAAUGUAUAGCUAGCACAAAGGGGCAUUUGUGAUGGGUGAAAGUAUGCCUCAUACAAGAUAUGCUUCUGGCAAGGUAUAACAUUCUGUAUCCAUAUACUCCAUAGCACACGAGCCAAUCUCCAAGAAAGCCAACAAUUUUGAUAUUGUAUAUGGUUUCUUUUCAUAAUCUAUGAUUUGAUUCACUCUUGUAUAUACGAAGGUUGGAUCCCAUAUGUUUUUAUACCUACAUUUGAAAGGAACCAAAUAGUUUAGGCUAAGUUGCACUGGAGGAAAAGAUGGUUGUAGGACUUAUAACCAUUCUCACCAACUAAUAUCAUAAGUUAGGAGACCGUUCAUAUAGAUUUUCCAAAAGAAAAUGACCAUCUUGAAGGUGCCUUAAGUAAACAAACUUUUUACUGGAAGGAGCAAGGCCAUCAUUAGCCUAAAAUGGGAUAUUGGUUAUUGAUAUUGUUAAUAAUAAUAAUAACUAAAAAGCUAAUUUAAUAAAGAAAUCACCAAUGGCAUUGAGUUUCCAAACAAUCUUAUCUUAUCUAACAAAUAAGAUGAUAGUUUUUUUCUUAAGAAUAUGAUAGGUUCCUUGAUCCAGGAGAUUGCUUGCAGUGCUUUAGUCCCAAGUUAUACUUCAGUGAUCACUAAGUUGUUAGAAAAAAUUCGAUUUGAAAAUAAUUUUCUUGCACAACAAAAAAAUAAAAAAUUUUGAAAACCGACCCGUUUUGAGAUAUUUAUAGCAAUAAACCCUAAACCGAAACCAUACAUGUGUUUCAGAUAGGCGGAUCCUUGUCGUACCUUCACCGCUAUUCUUGUACCAUAAACUGCUUCGGGUAUGGACUCGAACCAAUUGAAUUAAAUCAUAUAACUAGAAAUUCUUUUCUUUUAUAUAGAAAGAAAAAUUCUCUUAUCAAAUAGAAAUCAGUAGAAUUAUUAUUCCAAAAAAUUAUACUCUCUCUAUCUUUCAGCAGAGUAGCAAUAUCUUAAAGUUGUUUAAAUAGUUCUACCGGUGUCAUCUAUUUAUAGGGAGAGAAAGUAGAACCCUCAUUGAAUCAAAGAAGUUUACUUCAACUAGAGAAACGAACUCUUUUUCUAAUUAGGAGUAUAGGUGGUGGCAACCCUAAUUAAUAUUAACUAGGGCUAGUCAUUCACCCUAUUAACAUAAUGGGCUUUUGGGCCUCUUCCAUAUCGGGUCUAAUUAUAAGUACUUUUCAAGCAUUUAACCCAAUAUUUUAUAAUUUGAUUCAACCCUGUUACAGGCCAUUUUGCCCGAGGCCCAAUUAAACACAAAAAUAAAGGUCCAAAUUACAGUCCAUAAAGUCCAAAACAACAAGCUCAGAACCACUAGCCCAAUAACCCAAUAGCCUACCCUUAGCCCAAUAACCCAAUAGCCUACCCUCAGCCCAAAACCCAAAAACAAAAAAAACCUAGCAGAAAACAGAGGAGCCCUAGGCGCCGCUCCUAGGGUCUUCUGACCUUCGGUCUUCUGCUCACCUGCUCUGCCAGCAACCACCGCCAACUGCCACCGUCACCUCCAUCCACGUGCGUUGAUCCCUGUAAAUAAAUCAAAGCAAGCAAGACAGACAGGCAUAGACUAGGAAUUGGCUAUAAAAGCCGAAACUAAGAUACAUGUAAGGGGUUCUGACUCCUUUUUUUUAAAGAAAAAGAUCAAAGAAAAUAAAGGAAAAUCAGUUGAAAGGUGAAAUUUUUUUAGCUUUCUUUUUUUUUUCCUUCGAUUCCAUUCGGCUUUGCCUUCCUUUUCUUUUAUGUUUAAUAUAAGCUUAAAGGUUAAUAAACGAAACUUACCUGAAUCGUCGCGGUUGUAGCGUCGCCGGAGUCCGAGUCGUUGAGAACGGACGAGGAAGGCGUUUCAUUUUUUUGAGAUUCCCUCUCUCGGCCUUAGGGCUUUAAGGACUCGAUUUUUGGAAGGGUUUUCGAAACGGGAUUUUAAAAGGCUAACUUUUCGACUUCCGACCGCCGCUCACGGCGGCGCCGGCGCCGAUAAUCGGCGACCGGCACGGUGGUCCGCAACCGGACCCUUGGCCGGCGCUCAGAGAGAGGAGAAGGCUCUCUCUCUAUUUUAAAAUGGUUAAAACUGAUGGAUGUUAAGUUUUUUUUAUAUUUAUAGUAAAUACCAAACGGCACCGUUUUGAUAGGGUCAGGACAGCCCCAAAACGGCGUCGUUUUGGGCUCCUGACCCGAGACCCGACCCGUACCGCCUGGGAUCCGCGUGUUUUUGGACCAGAGGGGUUAUUUUCACCCUCAGUCCUUCCGCUUUUGAGGCCGCACAAUUGGGUCCUAUUCCCUUUUAUUAUUUGUUUUAAUUUUGCCCUAAAUUUUCAUUUUUCUUGCGAUUUGGUCCAUCGACCGUCCGCUCAGGCUUUGUCAGAACGACGUCGUUUGGACCACGUGGGAAUAUUUUCCGUUUUGACCCUCCAUCCUUUCGCGCGAGUCACAUUUUGGUCCUUUUCGUCCUUUGUCAUUCCAAAUUCGCCCAGUAUUUUCUUUUUUAUUUCAAUUUAGCCCCCCUUUUUUAGCCACUUUAUUAUUUUGUUUAUUCUAUUAUUAUUAUUAUUAUUAUUAUUAUUACUUAUUUGUUUGUGUUUAUUUUAUUUAGAUUUUUGGCACAUAUACAUAUACAUGCAUAUGUUUUUGUGAUAUACGUACAUUGUUUUUUGUAACAUAUAUACUUAUAUAGUUUAUAUAGUUUCAACUUAUGUAUAUAUCUAUACAUUUAUAUAUUUUCAUUUUCCUAAAUAUAUACAUAUUUAUACAUAAUCUUUAUAGUUUAAAAUAUACCCCCUUUUUUUAAAAAAAAACCGUAUAUACACACAUGUUGCUAAUAAUUUAUAUAGAUACAUAUCCUUUUUAUUUUAUAAGUACAUAUAUUUUAUAUGUACGUACAUAUAUUUUUUUUGUAUAUCUUAUUUUACAUAAAUAUAUGUAUACAUUUUCAAUAUAUUUUAACAUGUACUAAAUUAACGUAUUUAUUCGUAUACAUAUGUAUAUUUUCAUUAUUUUUAAACUUUAAUUUGUAUAUACAUACUUUCUCUUAUUUUUCAACACAUAUAUAUGUACUUACUUUCAUAUGUAUUUUAUUAUUUUUGUAUUCCAUAUUUUUAUACACCCAUAUAUAUGUACAUAUUUUUAUAUAUAUACAUAUUUAUCGUUUCUUUUAUAUAUUAAAAUACUUUAUACAUUUUGCUAAUUUAUAUAUAUAUACAUAUUUUAGUUUAUGCCUAUAUACAUAUCUUUUUAUAUUUAAUUGUAUUUGUUACUUAUUUAUUUCAUUCUCGUUAUUAUUUUGAAUGAAUGUUUUAAUUUAUUUGUUUAUGUAUAUUGUUAUUUUAUAUGAUUGUAGAUAUGAUUUUUAUUCAUUUUAUAUCGUUGCUAUUGCUCGUACUAUUUUUAUUUUUUAUGUGUAUUAUGAUUUUACCACGUAUGACAACAAUGUAAUUUGUUUUCACAUUUUCCUUUACUACGAUUUUCGUGUUAUAUUUUAUUCGGUACAACAAAAUUUGUUUUAACAAAGUAUUUCGUGUUUAGAUUCGAAAGGAUCGUACUCUAACUUACUGAGUUUCGAUUUUCAUAAUAAAUCUAAAUACACGAAUCUUUUCAAACUCAAGUUUUUUAAAACGAUCUUGGGAAUUAAGAAAAGAUCGUGCCCUAACUUACUGGGCCUGAUUUAUUUCUAAAACCAAGAUAAUAAAAUAUCUUUUAAAUAAGCAUUUUUCAUCCGCGUAUCGGGAAUUUGAGACAUUGUGUCCUAACUUACUGGAUAUGAUUCUCUUUCUCGAAUAAUGUGAAAUAUUCCCUUUUCCUGAAAAUUUUCAACGUUUUAAUACAAGGAUCGUGUUUUUAAAAUUCUUCAAGGUUCUCAAUUUUUGACAUUAAGACAUUAAGUAAUCAACUAGGUACCAAUUUUGGGCGUAUCGAGGGUGCUAAUCCUUCCUCGUGCGUAACCUACUCCCGAACCCGUUUUUGAAUUUCGUGGACCAAACUUGUUGUUUUAAUAAAACUAAAUCAUUUAUUAAAAACAACCACAUUUUGAGGUGACCCGAUCACACCUCGUCAAAAAAGAUUGGUGGCGACUCCCGUUUUCAUUCUUUUUUUUUAAAUCCAAGUCGACCCCGUUUCCAUCAAAAAAUGGUGUCAACAAACCCAAUAUUGUUUUUCUAUUUCCCAAAAAUAAAUUUUAAUAUUUAUAUUAAAUAAUUUUCUCAUAUCAAUUUUACCCUCAGUAAAAUUAUGACAAUUUUACCCUUGGUAAAACUUUUGAGAAAAUAUAUUUAAUGUUUCACCAUUCAACUUGGUCAAUAUGAUCAAAUGGUUUACUUUCAUUUUUGGGCUUUAAAAUAGCUCAAAAACAUAAAUUUAUUCUUCUGGUCAUUUUUUAGUAAUCCAUGUUCAUUUGCAAAUAAAUAAUUUCUCAUUUUCAAUUCAAUUUUGAGAAAAUCACAUUUAUUUUUGAAUGAUUCCAUUUCUCCAUUUUGGAAAAAUCAUAAUCAUUUCUGAAUGUUUUCCAUUUCUCUAUUUCUAUUCAUUUUGUUCAUUUUGAUUCAAACACGCAAUUCAUUUCUGGUUUUAAUGAGCUAGCAGAGGGACUGGUUGAACAUAUGCAAUUGAGGCUCAAAUGAUUUAUAAUUAAAUUCCAAUUUUUUACCUAUUAAUUAUAAACUCAUUUACUCACGAAGUCAUUCCACUAUAGUAUUGCGAUUGAGCUCUCCCCAACGACAUACCAUUACGAAAGCAACUCGAUUAGUGCUCGUCCAAUGACUUUAUCAUAAGUGUGUUACCCUCAUAGGAUAUCCUUAAUCUUUUUUGGGAUGGUAUUCGUUCUCUCAAUAUGAUCUUAUUUUAUUUCAUGGUAACUAUUACAUCUUCCUUUAUGAAAAUUCAAUUACUAUCAAAUAGUAAUCAAGUUAUUCAUCACAAAGAUGAACGACCCGUGGUCACGUUUACUUUUCAUCAACAAUGUAAUGCCAAUGAGAGGAUAUCAUUUACCCAUGUCUCGGGCUAUGAAUUCUACUAUUUUGAAUGGCGCUACAUACUGUAGAAGUCGUACCACCUUACGCACCAGCUUUUGGUUCCUUAUAUAUUCAAACUUAGGCUUUUAGUUACAUCAAAGUGUAUAAGUCACACAUACAUAAUAUGUCAUCCACUUAGGAUUUAGGUAUAUCACACUAUGAAUAUCUCAAGUGAAUAAAACCAUAAACAGAUUCAGGAUCUAUUCUUCUUGGGUCCAAUCCGAUGUACUGUCAGUCCAGUCAGUCACAUCUAUGUCUCUAUCUUCUGGGAGUCAUCCGCUCUGAUGCCCCAGACAAAACAUCUCCCCAAUUGGACUUGAUAGACGACAUAUUAGUCUUUCAAUCGAUUUGCUCAUUUCUUAUUAGACUAAGGACAUGUUUAGGUUCGUCUACUAAUAUAGUCUUUCUGUAUUACAAUCCGACUAUGUAAUAUCGCUUAAUAUUAGUUAAACAUUAGACUACCAGUGAGCAACAUUUGCUUCCAUUUUGCUUUGCGUGCAAAAACCAUGUGAGGACAAUAUACAAAGUAUUAAUGUAAUUCAUAAAUAAUCAUAUUAACUAAUCUGUUCGAAAAAUUACAAAUGUACAUUGACAAAAAUACAUACCAUUUCAACUUGUUCAACUACAAACAUUCAUCUAACCUUCUAUUACUCAUUCACAUUCAAUCAUACCAUUUCAAUUGUCACAUACAUGUAUCAAACAUGUUUACCAAAUCAUAUACAUUCAAUUAGGCACUAACUUUGCCAAAAACUUAACAUUUCAUAUAAGCAUUAACCUUACCAAAAUCAAGCAUUAUAAAGGUUGCAAGCUAACAUUUAUCAUUUCAAGUUAACUUAUUCAAACACCUAUAUACAUUCUACAAAAUCGAACUUAAAAUGAUCGAAAAGCUACCAAUUCAAAAACAGGAUAGUGCGAGCUUCUGGACGAUUUGCUAGACACGUUCCGCAAGUUGAAAUCCAUAGGAAAAGGGAAAAAAUAAUGGGGUAAGCAUAUUGAAUGCUUAGUAAGUUCAUAUGCAUUAAACAAAAACUUACCUCAUAUUACAACUAAUCAAAUAAGCUACUUAGAUUGGCAAUAUUUGCCUAAACAUGGUAUCACAUAUCAAUAAAGUGAGUUUAACAUAUAGUCACAUCAAAUGGUAAUUCAAACAUAUAUCAUUUCAAUCCACUAAAAUCAACUUUUCAAUACUACAUUCAUAAUCAAUUCAACAUUUAACUAUUUGAACAUCAAAUUCAUAUCAUACACAAAUAUCCUAUUAUACCAAUUACCCGAGCUGAAUAUAUAUAUACAUGUCAAGUUACUCAUCCGAGCUAAACCUUUAAAUUGACAUCAGGUUACCAGUCCAGGCUAAACUUGUGUCACAAGUAUCUUCGAUACAUCAAUUGCUCGUCCAAGCUGACCAAGCAAUCAAAUGUGUCAUUAAAGGUUCAAUUUCCGACGUCAAGUUACCAUUCCAGGCUAAACUUGUGCCACAUGUAUCUUCAAGUCCGCGAAAAAUGUUAGAUUUUGGUAAUCAUCGGUAAUCAAUUCAUACAAGUGUGCACAAAACCUUUACCAAGUUCACCCAAACAUUUUCAACACACACACAUAUAUAUAAAUACAUUUCUUUACAAUUUAGUCCCAAUCUCACCUUUUAUACCAAAUCACAAAUAAUCCAAAUUUCAACCAAACAUACACAUAUUCAUAAUUAAAAUACACAAAAAUUUAAACAUAUUCAUACCAUAUGAAUUUACCUGGUCAAAUUAGCCAACAAGUUGAAUUUGCAAGGACUAAUCGAUAAAUUUGACUUUUCCCCGAUUAUCUCCAAUUUGGUUCAAUUUCCGAUCAAUACAAUUAUUCAAUUCAAUUUAUCAAUAUCAAACACUUUUAUAUCAUCUCAUACUAGGCAUGAACUAGUUUAAUUUCAUUUUUUGAAUAAUCCUAAAGUUUUGCAUUUUAUUCAAUUUAGUCUUUAAAAUCGAAAUAGUCAUAACUUUCAAUUUUGAGCUUUGAUUUUGAAAUCGAUCCCAACCAUAUCCUUCUAUGACCCUCUAAUAUCUAUUAUUAUAGAAAUUUCAAAUCAAUUUCGUAAUUUAUACACUCUAGUCCUUAAGUUCAAAAACUAAUAACUAAACAUUACAAUCUAGUCAUUUUUCACAUCUAAGCUUAAAAUUUAACAAUUUAACACCAAAUUAUUCAAGAAAUCAACAAUGGAAACUUUCAAAAAAUUUAACAGUUUCACAAAUUGGUACAUGAGCUAGCUAAAUCAAGCUCUCAUGACCUCAAAAAUAUAAAAAUUACAAUAAAAUGACUAAAUUGAACUCGCCAAAUCAAGGCCGAAAGUUUGAAAGCUUCCACACCCUAUUUCUUAUUUUUACUAUAGGGGAGAAGAAGAAGAAGAUGAUGAUGAGCAGAUACUUUAUUUUUCUUUUAAUUUUGUCUUAUAUACUUUGUUUAAUUUUUAAUUAAUCAAAAUUAACUUAAUUAACUCUUAAUUAAUUAAGUCUUAAGGAUAAUUAACAAAAGUUAGUGGAUUAUGUCAUCCACCACCACCGUUUGACCAUUUAAAAAUGGUAUUUAAAAAUCUAAAGUGAUAAUUAUUUAUGAUUUAGUUCAUGUAUCUCAAUUAACUAUCAAUUCAACAAAAUUAUUGGACCAAACUUGAAUAUAUUUCUAUAUUAACCUUGUAAAUAUUAAGUAUUAAUAUUUAUGGACUUGGUUUACGUAAAUGGGGUUCCAAAACAGUCAUUUUCAACCCCAUUGAAAAUCGGACUGUUACAAUUGGUUUUCAAUUUAUCAAUGAUUUUUAAAGAAAUUCAUUAAAAAUUUUAAACAAAACUAAUAUUAUAAAAAAUAUAAAUUUAAUAUACAAAAUCGACCCGUGCAUCAUAUGGGAAUACAAACUAGUUAAUUUUCUAUUAUUCUAUUGAUAUUGAUAUAUUUAUUGAAAAUAUUACAAGAUUUCAAUAUAUGUAAUUUUAUGUGCUAAUAAAGGUUUUAAAAUUAAUUUUAAAUUGCUUCAUAAACUUUUUCCAUAUUUUCAAUCAAUACUUUAUUGUUUCAAUUUACACUUUGCGUUGUGUUAAUUAUUUGUUUGUUUCAAAUUAUAGAGUAAAAAAUUGAAGUUUACAAUAUGCUCUAAGUCCUAUACACUUCGUACAUUUCGAAUUUAGCCCUUCUACUUUUAUUUUUCAAGAAUAUAGUCUCUACUUUUCAAAUUUAAAUAAUUAGGUCUAGUUGUUACAACUAUUAAAAUUCUUCGAAUUUCUUCAUUCAAAAUCAUCAUGAUGAAAUAUUUUUUCUGCUGGAACAAUUUUCUUGAGAAAAAAUUGACGCUAGAAUUUUAUUGAAAUAGUUAACAAUAUUAGCUAUUUAGGCUAAUUAAUGACAAUAUAGAAGUAGAGAGAUCAAAUUAUGUAAAAAAUUAAAGUAUCUAGAUUAAAUCUCAAGUUUCAACAUAGUAUAAAGGCCAAAUUUAAAACUUUACCAUUAUCUUAUAAUGUAAAAAAAAAAAGACGCAAACCUAGAAAAAAUGUGAAGCCAUGUGUCAGUCUAUAAGACUCUUGGAAUAUUUAAAUUAUAUAUAAACACAUAAUGUUUUAAUCGAAAAGUUAAUGUUAUUAACUAUUUGGACUAAUAGAUAACAUUAUAAAAAUAUAGGAUCAAAUCAUGUUAGAAAUUAAGGUAUAUAGAUUAAAUUUUAAAUUUAGACAUAUUAAAAGGAUCAAAACUGAUAUUUAACCAUUUUUUGUAAAAUGCAAGAAAAUAAAGAAAGGGAAAAUGGUUGGUCUGCCACGUGUUAGCAAAAAGGUUUGUCCUUUAUCUUUUAUUAUUUUUAGAAUCAAUGUAUGUUGAAUUUGAAUCUUUGACUAUUUAAUGAAUAUAUUAAUUACUACUUUGAAUUUGAUAAAAUAAUUAUAUCUAAUUAGGCAUGUUUUGGAAAGAUAAAUUUAAAAAGUUAGUUAUGAAUUUGAAUGAUUUUAAUGAAAAGUAUUAAAUACAAAAUUAGUCAAAAGUUUUAAUUAUCAUCAUUGAUUUCAAUUUUAAUUCACAUUAAUAAAGUUUUAAUGUUUAAUUUACAAAUUCGUAUUUAAACUAUACUCUUUUUUUUAUCUUGAUGUUAAAAAUAUUUUUUUUGUCACAAGUUGUACUUAAACUACUUUUUUUUUCCUAUUAGUACCUCGGUUAGUUAAAGUCUAUUUUAAAAAAGGAUUAACCUAUAAAUUAGUACUUAAACUAUGCUAUUUUCUCAUUUUUGUAUCUAAUAUUUUUUUGGUCACAAAUGGUCUCUAUUAUCUAAACUGUUAUUUUCCCAAGUUAGUACUUUUGUUUGUUCAAUCGUUAAUCAAAUUCUCAAAAAGGAUUAACUCAUAAAUGGUACCUAAACUAUGUCAUUUUUCUCAUUUUGGUACCUAACAUUUUUUUGGUCACAAAUGAUAUCUAAACUAUUUUUUUUUCCCAAGUUUAUACCUUUGUUAGUUUAACCGUUAAUCAAACUCUUAAGUUUAUUUUAAAAAAAUAACCAAUUAAAAAUUACCAUGUAGCAAGAAAGACAAUGUAUUAUUUUCUUUAUAUAUAUUUAAGAAUAUUAAAAAUUCAUUAAAAAUAAAAAUAUUUAAAAAAAUAGAAAAAAUCAAUUCAAUUGGUUUGUAUUGGUUUGCGAGUCAAUUGGUUCAAUCCUAUCUUUGGACCAGUUUUUGGUCUAAUCGGUUAAUUUAGUUCUAAAAACACUAGUUUUGAUUCGUGAAAGAACUUUUUCAAUCCCAUCAGGUUGAUCAAGUAAGUAAUGAAGUUCAAACAUAGAAAUAAUUGUCAACGUCCCAAUCUUGAGAUUGCCAAUUUCAAGCAUUGUUCGCAUUGUCAUACAUUAUAAAGAAAAAAAAACAGAUUGAAAAAAAAUAAAGAGAGAGAAAUAAUGUAAAAAAAUUAAUUUUUAUAGUUUAUAUGAUAUGGCAAUCUAUUAUUGGUUGAAAAUUUUUUAACAAAUGGGUAAAGAAAGAAUAGUUUAGGUAUCACUUGUUACCAAAAAAUGUUUAGGUAACCAACUCGGAAAAAAGUAUUAUUUAGGUACUAAUUAAUAGGUUGAAGCUCUUUUUUUAAAUAGACUUAAUGAUUUGACUAACUAAUGUACCAACUUAAGGAAAAAAAGUAGUUUAGAUACCACUUGUAACAAAAAAAAAAAUUAGGUACCAAAUUGUGAGUUAAUCUAAAUUUCAGUUUUAAUUUCUUAAUUAUAAGUCAUACAAUUUUAUCUUGAUUAAUUUUGGCUAUGGAGAAAAACAUUUCAAUUUAGGCCAUUUUAGCAUUGCUUCUAAAAAAGCACUUUUGAAAUAAAAAUAUUACUAAAUAAGAUGUUUUUAAGAUUUUCAAAAGUGAUUUUAGGACAAAAAAAAUGUUUUACAAAAACAUCCUUUUUAACCAAAAGUAAUAGAAAUUUUUAACUUUUACUCAAAAAAAAAUACUUUUAAGAAACAAUCAUUAUCUGUAAAACUGAAAAGGCAAAUUGAUAAAUAAUCUGCCUAACAAUAUGUUAGAAAAAUUAUAUAAAAAAUAAAAAAAAGUCUCUUGCAAUUUUUCUUUCCAUAUAUUAGUAUGUAAAAUUAGCUCAGAAAAAUGACAAGACUUAAUAUAUAAGUGAUUGAUUUAACCCUUCAAUUUGUCAACAUCCUAAUUCACUUCAAUUGUAUCAUAUAACUCAUUAUUGAUUUUGCUCUCUACUUCUUUUUCAAAGAUAGAUGACUGUGUACUAAUGUUACCUCUUUCACUUUCAAUCCAUCUUUGAUUUUUUUGCCCUUUUUCUCUGAUCUAAAAUCAUAUUUAUAUACAUACCAAAUAUUUGAAAAUUAUUUCAACCUCAAAUCAUUAUUACUUAUACACCAAAAAAUAUAUAAUUAAUUAAAAUAUAUAAAAUUCAAUUUAAAUAAUUAAAAAAUCCAAAAUAACAAAUUACUCAAAUCAUAGCUGCUUUUUUUUUUAAGUUAAAAAGAUGUUGUUAGUCCCUAUAUUUGUAUAUAAUCUGAGAUUAAAUCAAUGUAUUUUAAAAAUUAAAAAUUUAAUCAUCUUACUUUUUUAAUUUAAAAAUUCUAGGCUAAUCAUUAUCGUCAUUGGUAUUUUUUGUCAAAAUUUGUCAACUUAUUAUAUUUAUUUCUUUUCAAUCAUAUGUCAUAUCAUAUGAGGACAAGCUAAUCGUAAUUUCAAGUUGACAAAUUUUGAUAAAAAAAAAAAUACUUAUGAGACUAGAUUGAGAUUUUAAAUAAAAAAAAUUAGGACUUAACUUUUAACUUUUUUAAGUAUAGUGAUUAAAUCUCAAAUUUUGUCAAAGUAUAGAGACUAACAACAUAUUUUAACCUUGAAAAAAUGUCUAAAAUGCUUUUUUAAAAGGGAGAAUUAAUUUAUAGAAGAAAACUCAAACACAACAAAGCCACUAAUUAAAAGGAUAGAUUUAAACCCCAACUAUUAAGCUUACCUUAUACACCUAGUCCUAGCAUUCAACUUCAUUAGCAGUAUCUAAAUAAAAAUAGAACGUAAAUUAGCAAGAGGAGAAUCCCACUUUGUAUACAAUUUAACAAAAUUUUAAUGCAUUCUACUACUUUUCAUUUCAAUCCUUACUUUUCUUUACUCAGAUGAAGACUUAAAAAAAGAUUUUUUCAAUGACCAAAAUAAAAACGACCUAAAAAAUGGGUGACCAAAACGAAAAUAUAAAUAUGAUGUGAAUAUGAUUUAACAUGUACAGUCAACCGCCUUAAAAAUUUAUUGCUUGAUGUCAAAACAAAAACACCGUAAAAGUUUAAUAACGAAAUUACGAAAACAUAAACGCCUAAAACCAAAACAAUCCACCCAUAGCUAAGAUUGGUUUUAAAGGUGGUAGGUGAGGUCAAUCUUUUCUGGUCUUUUGGCUGCUAUGAUUUCUUCUUUAGAUUAUGUGACUUGUUGUCUUGGAUAGUCCUAUGUACAUGCCAUCAUUAUUUAAAUAACAGUUGCCCUUAUAAAAAUAGAAAUAAAAACCGAAAAAAAUAAAAUGCAAUUUUUUAUUAUUAUUAAUAAAGUGGGUAAGGGCAUGCAGUAGUAAUUGGAUAUUGGGCUGAUAAGGGGAAGCAAUAAAAAUGGGCCGAUGGUUAAAUGGGUGAAGAAGGCCCAUUAGUAUCAAAGUCUUGAGAAGAAAGAUAACUGAAAACACGAUCAAAUAUAUAACCCAGUUUCCAAGAAGAAGAAGAAGACCAAACACACCGAACAUCCAACUAGGGGGAGGCAGAGAGAAGAAACAAAGAUGAGCAGCAUAGGUACUGGCUACGAUCUCUCCGUCACCACUUUCUCUCCCGACGGCCGCGUUUUCCAGAUCGAGUACGCCGCCAAAGCCGUCGAUAACAGCGGGUCCGCCCUCCUCCUCCUCCUCCUUUCUUAUAUAUUUUUUUAGUACGUCUGAAAUCUAAUUUUGUUUUUAAAAAAUAAAUUUUCUUUUGUGCAGAACUGUGAUUGGAAUUAAAUGCAAAGAUGGGAUCGUUAUGGUAAGUAUUUUCUUCUUUUUCCUUCAUUGCUUAUUGUGACAGACAAAUACACGAACAGCAGCAAAUGUUUGGGUGUGGAGUAAAAUGGGUAUUAUUUACUUUAGGGAGUGGAGAAGCUGAUAGCAUCAAAGAUGAUGUUGCCUGGUUCUAAUCGAAGAAUCCACUCAGUCCAUCGUCAUUCCGGCAUGGUAUUCACUAUUCUUUCAGCUUUAGCUUUAAAUUAAUGGCAUCUUUACCUACAUUUUUUCAAUGUUAAAAUUUGGGCUUCUUACUCGCCUUUUCUCUUGAUAUUGAAUGCUGUAAUUCAGGCAGUUGCUGGAUUAGCAGCUGACGGUAGACAAAUUGUGGCUCGUGCUAAAUCUGAAGCUACCAAUUACCAAAGGUUUUUUUUCUUUAGUUUCAAUUCCCAAACUCCAGUUUUAACUACAUCUAAUUAUAAUUUUCAUUUUUUUCUGGUGUUGAAGUGUGUAUGGUGAACCCAUCCCUGUCAAAGAACUUGCUGAACGUGUAGCAAGUUAUGUGCAUUUAUGUACCCUUUACUGGUGGCUCCGGCCCUUUGGCUGUGGCAUAAUUCUCGGUGGUUAUGAUAGAGAUGGUCCUCAAUUAUACAUGGUUGAACCAUCUGGCAUCUCUUAUGUAAGUUUGCAUCUCCUGAUUAUUGUUUCAGUUUGUUGUUCUUUGUUUGUUGAUACUAUUACUUUGUACAUUGGUAUUAUUUCUAUUUGCUGCUAGUCAAUGAUUUAUGUCUUCUUGUUUAAGUCCUUGCUUGUUAUAAUUGAUAUAGAGAUACUUUGGUGCUGCAAUUGGGAAGGGAAAACAAGCUGCCAAAACGUAAGUAACUUAACUAUCUCUUUCGUUCUAUGGAACUUAGAGGCUGGUAUUUGAUAAAAUUAUUUUGUUAUGCUAGCUAGUUAAAUUAGAUGAAUGAUUGGCGCAUAUGUAUUCUCUAUUUCACUUUUUCCGUCUCAACAGGUGAAAGUUAAUGUUAUAUUUUGAUGUAAGGCUCAUCCAAUUGUAAAGCAUUUUGAUGGUUUUGUUUCUCUCUCACUCUCUCUUUUGUGAAAACUAAUCAGCAACGAAGAUACUCAUGGCAUUCUCUUGAAUUAUUUAGAUUCUUCCUCCAUCUUUGUGUAUCCUCGAUAUUGUGGUCUGCCUUCUCUUUCUAUGAAGUGAAAGAAAUGGAUGCAUCAUAGAAAUUGAAAUCUUCAAAGUUGAAUGCAUAUAAAAUUUGAAAACAAAAAACUCUCAAUGGAGCCUUAGUUUGAACUUGUAUUUUAGUAAAAAGAAAGUACAAAAAUGUGGACUGGAUGCAUCAUGUAGCCGAGUAGAUUAAAAGGCAAUGGACUAUGAUUCCACCUCUGCCUGCAGUUUCACUACUUCUCAUUUGCAUGAGUCAUCAAAUCAAGUUAUUAGUCUUAACAUGAAACUAUCUAAAUGAAAUGAUUUUCUCUGUUCUGUGCCUUGAGGGGCUUUAUCCUGCAAAACAUAAAUAAGUUAAAGCCUCUCUUAUGAUCUUUUCAGAACCUUUCUUACGAUCUCAACCUUUUAAAUCUUUGAUUACCUCUUUCUUUCUGUAUUCAUCUAACAAAUAGCUUAUGAGUUUGUGGUUCAAUGAAAUAUGUGGACAGAGAAAUUGAAAAGUUGAAUCUGUCUGAAAUGACAUGCAGAGAAGGGGUUAUUGAAGUAGCCAAAAUGUGAGUGUUGCCUAUCCUAAUUUCUUCCUGUUUCUGUUCUAAUGCAUUUAUUUGGGAUCGGGGCAUCAUAAUUGGUGCUUUUAAAAUUGUUUGUUCAUUUAUUUUUCAGUUUACUCUUUCUUUUUUUUCCCUUUGAGUGCAAGUUUUUAUGCUACUACUAGAUUUGACUAUGCUAGUUAUUCUCAUAAGCAGCAUCUACAAGGUACAUGAUGAAGCAAAGGAUAAGGCCUUUGAACUUGAGAUGAGUUGGGUCUGCGAUGAAUCAAAGCAACAACAUCAAAAGGUAAUUUCUUCAAAAUUCUGUAUUUUGUUUCAACAACCAGCAAUGACAAAAUUCCCGGCCUUUUCCUCUAUGCAUGUUGGUUACAUGAAUUAAAAUAUGCCAUUUUACUUUUUCAUAUACCAAGUAAGAUUAGUAAAAGUAGGGUCUUUGCUUUGCUUUUACCCAUGUAUGUUCUGCCUUUCUUGACACGGGAGUCUCCCAUUGAAUCACAUGCAAUAGAUGCAUAUAGGGUCUUUAAUUGCAUAUGUCUAGAACAACCUUAAAAUCUUUCUCGUGUUUUAUUUCAAUUGGCUCUAUCUCAUUGUUCUAGAAGGCUUUCAUGGUCAAACAAUUAUAAUAGCUGCUAGAUGCUAUACUUGUAUGCUCAAACAAUUAUAAUAGCAAGCUAGACCUUUUUGGGCAUAUGUCGUCACAUAAACGGCUUAACGAUUAGGACCAUAGGGCAGGUGCUUGCAAGAAUAAUUCAUUAUUUUCCUUGUAAUGUGGCAUUAAUGAUUAAUAUUGCUCUUUGCUCCCAUGUAAUUUAAACCUCUUAUGGAGAUCACUUAUUGCAUGUAGAUGUUUAUAUGUUUGUAUUCUUAUAAAUACAUCAUCUGAACUGUUCCUCGUUUUUUUAAGGUUCCUGAUGACCUGUUAGAGGAAGCGAAGGUUGCUGCUAGGACUGCACUAGAAGAGAUGGAUGCUGAUUAAAUUGUUAGUGAAGCCAGAAUAGUCUUUGUUAUUGAUAUUUUCAUCUUCAUGAAUCCCCAUUGUUAUGGUUUAAACUUUCCUCGUAUCAUUUUUCAUAUAAGAUCCCUGCUGACAAUUUUUUUUAGGAACAUGGAUUUCAAACGGAACAACUAUAAACUAUGCCUUUGUCACUUUUUAUUUAGGCUUCAACAGUGCAAACUAAGAAUUUACAAAAAUCUUCUCGGUUCCAAGAAUCUUGGAAUUUAUUUUGUUCGAAAUUCAUAUGAAGAAUUGGGAUGUUUGAUAAAUUUAUAGAAGGUAUAGAUUUGUUGCUUGUAGGUUCAACAAAUUUGGACAUAAGGUCUAAAUGUAUGGCAAAUAAGGUAAUUGAUUUAGCUUUAGUUCAGGUAUCAUUGUUGUUGUUGCAACAUAUAGGAAGAUGAUAUGAGUUUUAACGUGUUCACAUAUAAUGUAUUUGUUGUCUUUGGUAAUUAACGUGUUCACAUAUUAUCUAAAAACUUAAAAUUUUUAUAUGCUUUUGAGAGACAUUUGUCAUUUUUCGUAAUUUUAAAUUUCUUAAUUGAUGGUAUCUAAUAAUAACCAACAACCAACAGUAUAUUUAAUAGUAACCCACCCUUUAAAUAUUAAUAUUAGACCCAUCCCAAUAGUGGUUUGAAUGUAUCUUAUUAUUCAAGUUCUUUUUCUUAUUCAAAUUUAGGUUUUGAUGUCUAGAAUCAUUUAUAAUGUUUCUUUAGCGUAUUUGAAUUCACGUUUUCUUUCAUCAGUUAUAAUGUCAAUUCAACUGAGUUGAGACUUAAUCGGCCAAUCUAUUGAUCUAUAAAUUGUAGCUUUUUACCUAUUGUAUGUGUAUAUAAAACGUUCUUGGUGGAAAAAAAUAUGAAUGAAAGAUCCCACUGAAUUGAAUUGGAUCCAUGAAUCUAAGAAAUAAUGAGAAUUUUUUCUCUCUCAAAAUUUGAAAAUUUAGGAUUUGAAUUGUUAUUUUCUCCUAAAUUGUAUUGAUUUAUGUUAAAGAUUUCAUUUCAAUUGGAAUUUGGUUAUUGUACGAGGAUUCCCGCUAAGCAUUCAUGACAAAAUGGCUAAAGCGCUCAACUUAUAAAUAACGAAUUUGUAAGUUCAAUUUUUAUUGGAUACACACCAAUGGGACCCUCCAAUAAGUUUAUUAGAAUUGACUUUGUAUCAAAAUAAUUUCAUCAUUUAUAUAUGAAUAAUAUUUAGUACAUUGCCUAUAAAUAUGAUAUUAUUUAAAGUAAUGUUUUCAUGUAAAUUAGGAAACAAUCUUAAGUGGAGAAGUUCAUAAUGUGACAAAUAGUAGAUCUUAUUUAUUGAUAUAUCAACACUUAUAAUAUUAAAAUAAUAUUAAGACCCACUAUUAAAUAAAUAAUAUUUUUAUAUAUUUUUAGAAUUAAUUCUAUUAGGUUCUUUUCUUUUACAUUAUUCUUAUUUCCCACUUUUAAUAACUAUUUUUAUAUUUUACAGGUUUUUAAUAUUUAGUGUUAUCAUUUUAUUUUAUUCUAUUAUCCGCUUUUUGUUACUUUUGUAAAAAUUUAAAUUCCCAUAAUGAAAACCAUCCUAAUAAAAAUUUAAAAUUAAACAUAUACUAUGUUUUAAUUUCCUAAUCAUAUUAUUUAUGAAAUGUUAUAAUUUUAAAAAAGAAAUAAUUAAAAGUAAUUUAAUUAAUAUAUACAAUUAGUAUGUGUAUUGUACAAAUAAAACAAUUAGAAUUAGAUUACAACUCACUCACGAUGGAGAUGAAAAAACUUAGCUAAUAAAUUUAGGGUAAAUUAUACCAACAAUCACUUAAUUUUAAGGUAGUUGGUAAAACAGUCACUCAAGUUUCAAUUCAUCUACUCAACUUUCGAAAAAUAACAAAAUAGUCAUUAACAUUAUUAAAAAAUGAUAAAUCAAUCACUUAUUAACAUUUUUCGUUACUAUUUUAACGGACUGCUAACAUGGUAGGUUAACAGGCUGACAUGGCAAGUUAACUUGUCAUGUUGGUGAAGCAGUCAAAGGGUCAAACUUUACAUGGGUUUAGGAAAAAGUCUGAAUAUGUGGGUUGAUUUAGGGUAAGAAAACACGAAUUGGUUGUGAUUAAAGGAGGAAAAGAAAUUCAAAAAUAGGGUUUUGGGUUAGUAAUCGAUUCAAAAAUCAUUUUAGGGUUAGAAAAACUAUUCAGAAAUCGAUUAACAGGGUUAAAGACAACAAGGAAUCUGGUUUGAGAGAACACCGAUAACUCCGGAUUGAGUGACCCUGUUGCACUCCUCCAACUGCAAGCACUCAAGAGAACCAACAGACUUGGCAAAAGCCACCAAUCCAUCACCAGAAACGAAGCAACACCUGCAAAGGCACAUCUGCUUCAAGUUAGCGCAUCCCUUUCCGGUGGCUUCAAGACUCACAUCAAUUUCUCCCAGCAAGAAGCAAUUGUAAAAUAGACCAACUUUUGCAGACCCUGAGCAUUACCCAUCACCCGAAAUCCUUUCUUGCUCACAUUUUGUAGACCACUCAGCAUCAGAUUAAUCACAGGCUUGCCAUAGUGCCCAAUCAUAGCAAGAGAAAAAUCUGAUAUGCUUAAACCCUGAAGCUUAACCUUUAAAAGGAUGGAAGAUGCUGAUGACAACAGGCUUGAAACUCCAUGAUCCCCAACAAGUGGGCAAUCCUUGAUAGAGAUGGACUGCAGCUUGGGGUAAAGCUUUUCGAUAGCUUGGAGGCCCUCAUUACCAAUCUUUGGGCAAGAUUCGAUACUCAACGUAGUCAAAUUAGGGCAAUUGGCGACGAUGGCAAUUAGCCCCUUAUUUGAAACGUGGGGGCACCGGCAAAGAUCAAGCUUCUCCAACAAAUGGCAUUCUUUAUCUAUCUUGCACAAACCUUCAUCUCCACGCAGAACGUUCCACAAAGAAAGUACCUUCAGAGAAGGACAACCUUACUUCACGUGAAGAGUUGCUUCCCCUAAUAGAAAGCUUUCUCUUCUUCUCCUUCUUCUUUUUCUGUUCUUUUACUGCAUAGACCCUAAAUUGGUUAUAAAUGGGUUGUUUAAAUUGGUGUUAAGUAACCAGCUGGAUGGUUAAUGAUAACAAGGAAUCCAUCAACUGCCAUGUCAAUUUUUCGUUAUGUCUGUAACAAAAAAAUUAUUAAAAUAACUAUUUUAAUUUUUUUCAAAAGUUAAAUAACUAAAUUAAAACUUGAGUGACUGUUUUAACAACUAUCCCAAAAUUAAGUAACUAUUGGUGUAAUUUCCUCAUAAAUUUAUUAAAAAUAAUAGAAAAUUCAAAUGUGGUUUAGUUGAAAUAAUAAAAUUGUGAUAAUGAAAAUUAUGAUAUUUUGGAUUCAAAGCCAAAUAUGUGUAUGUAUUCUUUUUUAGAUUUUAUACAAAAUAUUAAAAGACAAAAAUACUUUCAAAAUAAUAUUAUUUCUUUAUAAAAAUAUUAAUUUUUUAAUAAUUUUACAACUAAGUUAUAAUAUUAUUGAUAUGUGACAUAAACUCAAUUGAAUUCUUAAAUAAUAGUAUAUAUGAACGCACAUCUAUAAUAAUCACGUUCAACUAUUUGACGAGUAGAUUAGUCUUGUGGUUAAACUACAUAGAUGGUCAUUCAACUAUCAAAAUUUUCAUUUUAAGCACCCAAAAAAGUUUACAAUUUAAGCACCUAUGUUCCGUAGUUCGAUCAUUUUGGUCACUCCCGUUAAAAUCACAAACAAAAAUUAUGCUUUUAAAUCUUGAUUUUCCACAUAAUUAAAGAAAAAUCCAUGCAGUUAUUAUUUAUUAAAAAAUUAUCAUUUUAAUCACUUAAACUUUUGUUGAAUACCCAUCUUAGAGGAAGUGCCAAAAAUGUCAUUUGAGCAUCCAGUUGGUUGGGUAGUGUAAGAGAAGUAGUUGAAGAGAAAGGAAUUUAUUGUAAUUAUAUUUUUCAUUUCCUUUUUGCGCUCAUUCGUCUUUCCUUCCCAGUUCAUUUUCUCUCUGUUGCAUUUCUCGUACACUAGAAGCUCACAAAUGCAAAUGUCCCAUUUUUUUUAGAGUUAAUGCCUUAUUUAAAUUAAAUUAAAGUUUGGGUGGUUAGAAUGAUGAUUUUUUUAAUGAUUAACAACCACAAGGAAUUUACUUUAGUUAUGUGGAAAAUCAAAAUUUAAAAGAAAAAUUUAUGUCUGAUUUUCGUUUAUGAUUUUAAUGGGAGUGACAAAAAUGAUUGAAUUAUAUAACGUGGGUGCCUAAAAAUGCAAGUUUUUUUUUAGUGCCAAAAAUGAAAAAAAAAUAGUUAGGCGACUAUAUGUGUAGUUUACCCUAGUCUUUUAAUAUACCAGUUAGUAAUCCGAUUCUUAUAUAUUUAAGUUUGACAUUCGGUAUUUAAACAAAAAACAAAAUCUUUAAGAGUUCGAAUAAAAUGUUUAAAAGUUUAAACUGCAUUAAGGUUGAAUGUCGAAAUUUAACUUGUCACAUGAAAAAAGAAUAAUUUAAUCAUUAUUGUGAUUUAAAAAUAUUGAAAAAAUUUUAUGUCACUUUAAAACACAAGUGGUUUUUAUAGUUAAAGUUAACUCUGCUUAAAAUUUAACUAUAACAUCCCUCGCUUGAUUUUAUCGUCGAGUCUGAGUUACAGGAUAUCACAUUCGUUGUCAGAGCAACAACUAUCAAUCAAACAACAUACAAAGAUUUAUACAUAUGAUCAAGUGUUAAUCAAGCUCAAAAUAUGUUAAAUAAUCAUUUUCGGGUCUUAAUCGAAUUUACAAAAGCUAAAUACCAUCUCGAGGUCAAAUUUGAACUAAACUAAAAAAUUUCAAAAUGUAAGAAGAGGAUAUCGCGAUCCCAAAGAAAAUAACAAAACAUCAAAAUAUGUCAGGUGAGUAUCGCAAAAUCUAGGGUUUGGUAUAUCGUGAUCUGAAAGAUAGUAGUCAAACUUCCCAACUUGAGGAUCAAAUUGCAAAGUUUACAAAAUAAUUCAGGGUCAAUAUAGCGAUAUCCAAAGUGUGGUAUCGCGAUACUAAAAAUAAUCCACUAAGUCUUUGUUUUCUAAAGCCUCAACUUAGCAUGCUAAUCAACAUUUGGCCCUAAGGUCCCCAAAUCAACCAUUCAACAUAAUCACUUAAAAACAUAUCUAAUCACUUACUUUUCCAUACUAAAACAAGUUAAUUACUCAUCUAACUCAAACUGAUCCGAUAUAGAUUCAAUCUAUCACAAAACAUACCAAUUCAAUACUUCAAAUUAUAUACCAUUCAUUCAACCUACUAACCAUUCAAAUACCAAAUUCCUACCUAUGCAAAUCCAUGUUCAAACAUGCUAAUUCAUUUCAUUUCACAACCUUUGCCAAACCACUUAACUAACCAUUUAACUAGGCAUUUCAAAUGCCAAAUCAUGCAUUUUCAAGCCAUAUGCAAAUGCCAACAUCUAGAUCAUAUAUAUAUACAUAUCAAGUUCAAUACCAUGGAUCAAGAUGACUUUCAAACAUCAUUUAGGCUUCAUACAUUUAAGUUUGUUCCAAAACACCUAUAUACAUGCCACAAACCCGAGGUUCAAAAUAAUUAAACAUCUACCAAAUAGGUGAUAGGAUGGUGUGAGCUUCGAGUUGAUUCAGCUUGACGAGUUUCGCAAGAUGAUCUACAAGGGAAAUGGAAAAUAAACAGGGUAAGCAUAUCGAAUGCUUAGUAAGUUCAUAGGCAUUAAACAUAAACUUACAUCAAUUUACAAUUUGAUACAACAAGCUAUUUAACUUGACAAAAUUUUUCUAAACAUAGCAAUUCACAUAUCAAUAAAGUGAGUUAACAUAUAAUGACAUCAAAUGGCAAUUGAAACAUAUAUCAAUCCAUUUCAAUACAAUUCCCAUAAUCAAAUUAACAUUUAACCAAUUGGAUAACAAACUCAACAUUCCAUUGCCAUUUUUCACUUUUCAUUAACCUUUUUAACUCGAUGAACUCAAGUCAACAAAUUCAGAUAGACAAGUAACUACACCACACCAUAUUUGUAAUUAUAUAGUAUUUUUAAAAUUUGAUAAACAAAUUUAGUAGGGCAAAAAGAAUAUGAAAUUUAAAAUUUGGGUAAAUUACAUUAGUAGUCACCUAAUUAUUAGUAGAUUUCUUUUUUGGUCAUCAACUACGAAAUGUUACAAAAUGGUCACCUAGAAAAGAAGUUUACUAAUAGUUGGGUGAUUACUAGUGUAGUUUACCCUUAAAAUUUCAUUGAAGUAGGCCCAAAGGUCCGUCCGAAAAAUAGGAGAGAUUAGACAAAAAUAUGAGACUCGAAAAAUGGGCUUGGUAAAAUUUAAGCCUUAUUCUCUAUAUGGGCUGAGAUUUUAGCAUUAUUUUUUUGGCUCGAGCUUAGCUCGGUCCGAUCAUAAUAUAUUACGUUCUAAAAAUUAAUUAUAUAUAUAUAUUAAAUAAUAACUAUAUAUUUAUAUUAAAUCACUAACCUAAUAACAAUUAAAUUAAUAACUCAAAAUCUAAAAAACUUAUCCAACUAAAUAAUUCAACUCAAAACAUUUAUCGUAUUAUUUUGUGUUUUUUAAUAUAAUAAAAUAUUUAUUAUAUUUAUGGUAAUAUAUUAUUUUUAAAAUAUAUAUAUAUUUUAAAAAAAUUAAUCUAAAAAAUAAUCAAAUAUGGGGGAAUAGACCUAAAUUUAUUUUUCUUAAAUUGAGUCAAGUUUGAAAAAAAAUAAAUCUAUUUUUAAAAUCGGACCAAACCCAAACUUCAAAAAUUAAUUUAAAUACAUUUCAUGGACUCCAUGAACACCUCUAUUUCCGACAUAUUUAAUUUAAAACUAAAAUAAUAAAAAAUCCUAAAAUUGACAUUUUGAAAAUGUUAUUUAUGUUAACAUUUUCUUAUAUUAAAAAAAAAAAGGAACAAUUUUUUACAUUUGCCGAACGUAGCCAGUACAAGAUUGUUUUUGUAGUUUAGUUUAACUUCUGCAACUCGACACCGACACCGUCACCGUCGCCUCUCUAUAUUCCGGAAAGUUUCUACUUUAACCGAUUUUUUCUCCCAGUAACUAUGGCUUCAGGUCUCUUAUUUUCUCUGUGAUUUUCUUUGAUUCUAAUUUAAAUUCUGUAAAAAAAAAAAAUCAGUUUCGCUAUUAGCGCUUGAUAAAAUUGUUUUCUUUCUUGGAUUGGACAGAUGCAGAUAUGGAGGAUUAUGGAUUCGAGUACUCCGAUGAGGAACCUGAGGAACAAGACGUUGAUAUCGAGAAUCAAUACUACAAUUCCAAAGGUUUUUUUUCUUUAUAUAUAUAUUAUUCUCUAAUCUUAAUUUUGGUAUGGAUUCGAUUAUGCUUUGUUUCAGCUUUACCAAAAAAUGUAUAAUUUCUGUUUCUUCGUAUUUUUAUAUGCUUCAAAAUAUUACUUUUAGAUUAGAGUUAGAGCUCACUUUUCGAGUAUAGUUGUGAAGGGCUGUUAGGGUUUAUCCCUGUCAAAUUGGGAAAUUAUGUAGUUAUAAUUUGCGUAGUGGCUGAAUAAUAACCUAAACUUAUUAGGCUCAUUAUGAGUUUAGCCAUUAAUCUCAUUUCCACAACUUCCUCUUGGUUACAUGAUAAUUGGUUCUUGAAUAGCAUAUUUUGCACCCUAGAGAAGCAGUGGAGGUGAGCUCAAGGGUCCUAUUCUGUCUGCAUAAAUGCUUAAAUCCUUGUUGUUGGUUGACAAUUUUAUGAUUUCCUACUUAUUGUUACUAAUAAUUUGUUUUCUUUUGUCGUAAAAGGUUUGGUAGAAACAGACCCUGAAGGAGCUCUAGCUGGUUUUGCUGAAGUGGUCAGCAUGGAACCGGAAAAGGCUGAGUGGUGAGUUCUUCAGAAAUAAUAAUUUUAUUUAUUACUUUUUGGUAUUAUGGCUAUUAUCUUGCCUUUUUACAAUUUAUGCCAACUAAUGCUUUUUUUACUUUCCUUGUGCUAAGUCUUUUUAUGAUUUAGCACUUCGUAGGUAUAUAGGGAUGAAUUCCUCUUUGAUUUUACCAAAUAGUUCCCUUAUAUAAAUAAAAGUUCUUGGGCAUCUUGCAACCUUUACAGAUUCUUGUCUUUGUUUUAUCUAUCCAUUAAAAGCAAUUAUGCCAUUCAGCAAGAAAUAUGUAUUUUAUUUGAGCUGUAUUCAUCAAUAUUAAAUAGUGUACUUGUACUUUCUAUGCAAGGGGAUUCAAAGCUCUUAAGCAGACUGUAAAGCUCUAUUACCGAUUAGGGAGGUAUAAAGAAAUGAUGGAGGCUUACAGGGAGAUGCUAACAUACAUCAAAUCAGCAGUGACACGGAAUUACAGUGAGAAAUGUAUAAAUAAUAUUAUGGACUUUGUGUCUGGGUCAGCUAGUCAAAAUUUUGGGCUCCUGCAAGAAUUCUAUCAGACCACUCUAAAGGCCCUUGAAGAGGCAAAGAAUGAGGUUAGAAAACUAUCAAAUGUACAAUACCAUCACUUCAGCAUUUGCAUAAACAUGUGAUGUAUUGCUCUUGUCAUGCAGAGACUUUGGUUUAAGACAAAUCUUAAGCUAUGCAAGAUCUGGUUUGAUAUGGGUGAGUAUGGGCGAAUGAGCAAGGUAUCUUUUCCAAACCUUGUUAUUUCAUUUACACAGGAUAUAGAACCAUAGAAAUAAUCAUUUAAUGUGUUGCACUAUCAGAUUUUGAAGGAACUUCAUAAAUCUUGUCAAAAGGAAGAUGGAACAGACGAUCAAAAGAAGGGAAGUCAGCUUCUGGAAGUAUAUGCAAUUGAAAUUCAAAUGUAUACCGAGACAAAGAACAACAAAAAGCUCAAGGUAAUUUAACUUCCUUUUUAAGAUACAAUGUAUAAAUCUACAACCGGCCAAGCAGUUGUUACCUCUCUUUGUGAGGAUUGAGGUCUAAGGUCUUCUCUGCUAGGUUUUCUCUAUUUGUACCUAAAAAGUCAAAAUCUGACAGUAAGUAUUUUAAAUCGAGCUGGUAAGAUAAAGAACUCUUUAUUGAUGAGGAAGAAAUGAUUCUAUGAUUCUAUUACAUGUCAAAUAUGAUUACUUACAAGUGGCAAUUCAGGAGGGGCACAUAAGCAGUCGUAAUUCUCUUGUAAAGGUCUAUUACUGAAAGCUAGUUUAUAUUGUUUCUGCUGUCACCAUUUAUCUACCAUUUAAUAAAAAUACAUGGUAGAAUAUGUACCCAAUUUUCUGCUUUGCGGAUAUCAAGUAUGCUUCCUUCUGGAAUUCAAGUGAAGCAAUGUUAAACUAAGAUAUGAAAUAUGUAGAACUUUAGGCGUGAAAGUUCACCUGUGUCUUGAUUUUGCUAUUUUUUUAGAAUUCUAGCAACUCUCAAAUUUAAACUACUAAAGUAUAUUCACUUGUAGUCUGGAUUGGUUAUCUGGAUCCUGGUCAAUGACAUUGUUUACAUUAGCAUGAAGCACUAUUAGUUAAUCCUUAAUACUGAAAUCGAGAAGUUUUCACUGUUGUUUAGUCUCAAUUGCAUGUGGUCGCUACUUCUCUUCCUGACUGAUAAUUGUAACUUUGUUCUAUUUUAUAUUAUAGCUGAAAAACCAACCUUGGUUCUGUCUGAUAAUUGUUUUACAAAGUUAUACAGUUAUGUCCUGGUUUGGUCUUUAUAUAAUGGUUUAGCUGUGACUGAGAUAUUGGUUUUAAUGCAGCAAUUAUACCAGAAAGCACUUGCUGUCAAGUCUGCAAUACCACAUCCUAGGAUCAUGGGAAUAAUUCGUGAAUGUGGUGGCAAGAUGCAUAUGGCUGAGCGUCAAUGGGCUGAGGCAGCCACAGAUUUCUUUGAAGCUUUCAAGAACUAUGAUGAAGCUGGAAAUCAGAGACGUAUACAAUGCCUAAAGUAUGAUUAUUGUCUAAUGUAAUUUUUCACAUUUUCUGUUUGAUGCACGAUCCUCCUUUCUCUUUCACUGGUAGCAUAAUAUUUGACAUGGGAGCUGAAGCUCUUUUAGCCUACUGGUUUAAUCCCAUUAUAGCACUAGGGUGAUCACCCGUAACAAAUGUUUAAAAUGGAUUGCAUUUCUCUGAACAUGUUUGAGGGGGUACUUUGAGGCAAAAGGUUCUUUCAUCAAAAGUGACAUAAGCAAUAAAUAAUUGCUACUAAAGGCAUAAAGUUUGAGGACAGAUUGUAAUAUGGAGGAAAAUGAAGAAAAUCCCAGUCAGUGAGAUCUAGGGGAGGAAAAAAAAGAGAGACAAAGUAGGGAUAAAUUUGGUUGGAAAAGAAGAACACUAUCCUAGAGUAGAGAUAUUGCAAAUAUU